This 51091-nucleotide long non-coding RNA is filed under the name Ananas comosus (pineapple). Its description in RNAcentral is "long non-coding RNA (ACOM_LNC011159)". The record is from RNAcentral. Lineage: Eukaryota; Viridiplantae; Streptophyta; Magnoliopsida; Poales; Bromeliaceae.
GUUAGAUUUUGUAAUUUUUAGGUAGUUAAAAAAAUAUAUAUAUAAUUUUUCUCAACUUUCAUUCAUUUUAAUUUGACUAUCUAAUCUUUAAAAUUUUAAAUUUUGCUACAUAAACUUUUAUUUUUUUGUUAGUUUUAGUCUGUUAAUGACUAUUUAACUUUAAUAUUUGAAUCCACUGCUGAAUUUUAUAGACAUAAUAAGUAUGUAUUAUAUAAUAUAUGGAACUAUAAAUCCUUUCCAGUAAGUAAUUGAUUUAAAUUUUAUACUGAAAGAGUCAUCAAAUGACUUAAAUCGGACAAAUUAAAAGACUGGAUAUUAAAAUAAAAAUUAUAAAAGGUUAUAUAAUCGAAUCAAAUUCUAGUUUAGAUAAGUUUUAUUCAUUUUUACCUAAUAUUUAACUUAGGAAUCUGAUAUUAUCUCCUUAUUUGUCUUUUUCUCACUUACCACCUCUUCCUUAGUUUUUUUUUUUCUUAAUAAUUUCUUCGAAAUCCAAAAUCAUUAAAAUAGUCAAAUUUCAUCUAGGAUUUAGCCCAGCCCAAAUAGUUACAUGGAUGUUUGACCCAUAUAACACACUGCGAAAUGGAUGGGCCAAGUUCAGCUCAGGCCCGAGAUACAUCGACCCGACCGGCCCACAAUACGCGGCGUGGUCCGCACGUAUAGGUCGGACUCCCAUUCUGCAAUCACAGCCGUCAAAAAUUCCACGGCUUCGAUCACUUGAUCGGGAAUCCGACGGUUCAGAUCAAUCACGCCUGUCCGGAACAAUAAUAACAGCUCCAUUUCUCAACACCUUCCCCCAAGUCACUCUCGCCCGCGCUCGAUCACUCCGCCACCGCCACCGAUCCCUCCACACAAAAAAAAAAGAAAGUGAAACUACUCUUACACCUCCCCCUUUGGGCCUUUCCUCUCCCUUUCUUCUUCCCCACGCUCCGCCACCCCCCAAAACCCUAGCCCUAGCCAUAAACCCUAGCUCGCUCUUCUCCCUCUCGAAUCAGGGCAAUGGUGCGCGCGUACACGCAGGAGCACGUGUACCGGCACCCCUGGGACCGCGUGACCACGGCGGCGUGGCGCAAGUUCACCGACCCCGACACCCCCGCGGUGCUCUCCCACAUCCUCGACGUCCACACGCUCUCCCGGCGCCUCGACUCCGCCACGGGCCGCCUCCUCACCACCCGAUCCAUCACCGUGCGGUCGCCGACCCUCCCCUUCCUCGUCCGCCGCGUCCUCGGCCAGGACGCCGUCGUGUGCCACUGCGUCGAGUCCUCCGUCGUCGACGCCCCGCGCCGCUCCAUGGACAUCGUCGCCCGCAACGCCAGCCUCCGCGGCCUCAUCGAGGUCGAGGAGCGCUCCAGCUACCGCCCCCACCCCGAUCGCCCCGCGGAGUGGACGGUGUUUCGGCAGGAGACGAGCAUCCGCUGCAAGCCCCUCUCGGCGCUCGCCGCCGUGGCCGAGAAGGUGGAGCAGCGCUGCGCCGACAGAUUCCUGCAGAACAGCGUCAAGGGGCGGGAGGUCGUCGAGCGGAUCUGUAAGUACCUCGAGGCCGAGUCCUCCUCCGCCGCGGCCGCCGCCUCUUGUUGACGCGCUUCAUUGGUCCGAGGUUAGGGUUUCUUCUAGCCCAUUCUCUUGUGUAUCAUUCUAAUUGCAGAUCCGUGGAGUAAAUUGCAUCACGAGUGCUCCUUCGUAGAUUGAUUGCUCCAUCUCUUGCAUUUGCGCUUACUACUGGUCUUGGGAUCGUCAAUUGAAGUUUCAGAGCCCUUGGGUGUCUCGGAUUUGUUAGUCAACAGUUAGUUCUGAUCAAUGGGAGCUGGCUAGGAUAAAUCUUAGGUGGUUUGAUCUCUUAGAUCAUAAGAUAUUUGGUAUUCUUUUGUCGAACGAGAGUAGAUGAAACUGGAUUGGUGCGAUCGGGAUUGUGUGUUGUGUUUAAGGGCAACAUUGAAGCAUGCUAUUGUUUAAUUAAGCAUAUUAUGGACUACACGAAAACAAGAAGAAGAACAAGAGUGGAAUUGUUUUAGAAUCGGUCACACAUCUUAUUGACACGGUGUUCGAAUUGUUAAGUAGGAUUGUAGGAAGGAUUCUCCGAUUUCAUGUUGGUGAAUUUGUUUAUCAACAUGGCAUCUCAAUCUGUACCUUAGACCCCUUUUUUUAAAUCUUUCAAUAGAUUACAUCUUCUUGUUUGUUGUGCACGUAAUAAAUCAACCUGCGAUUAUCGAAUUUAAUUGAUGCUCCACUCGACACACAAAUACAUCAGGGUGGGUACAGUUUAACUGAUUUAUCCAUUGGUUGUGUAUAUACAUUCCAGUAAAAAUCCUGGUUAGUUCAGUAAUGAUUUUGGAAUCCAUUAUGCUUGCUGCAUAUCAUGGUCUAUUACUUACCUUCUUGUAUGUCUGAUCUCGCCCCUUAAUUUUUUGGUGCUAAAGUACGUUAAGCUUAGCCUUCUGGUGUCUGCCAUCUCUUGGUUAUUCAUAUUUACAUGGAUUCUUCCGUUAACCCUCUCCUUUUUUGGCCUACAGUUUUGGCUCAUAAACCACUUAAACCACUGAAACUAGGGAAACCAAAAUUCCUUUGACAUGGUGAUGUUAGAAAGAUAGUUGCCAUUAGAUGCUUGCUUGGCCGUGAAUAGUUUAUCUUAGUUUUUUGGCCAAUGCGAGCAAAAUAAUUGGUAGGAUGAGGUAUUGUCAGAAGACUCAGAGCAAGGAAUGAGCAGAAGACUCGGAGCAAACAAUCUCAUUCCCUGCACACUAGUAAUUUCCAAGCAUACUUAACCUGACUGACUCUUCUAAUUAGCAUGGCAAUUGGGUCAUGCUGGAACAGAAAUCUACGAAAUCAUGCCGUUUUGAGGUUGUUCUUAUGAAUGAUGAGAGUGACUCCUUUAUUAAACCAUCCAGCAAGUUUCGGUGACGGCAAUGAUAGGACAAAUCAGAUGUGUGUUGAUAGGGAAGCUAAAUUUGUGAUUUUGUGGAGAUAAGCUAAAUUUGUUUUUUCUAUAAUAGAUUCGUCUCUACUAAUCGGCCAUAAGCCUUGUAGAUGCAGGAAGCAUUUUUAUUUGUAAUUUUGUAGAGAUAAGCUAAAUUUGUUUUUUCUAUAAUAGAUUCAUCUCUACUAAUCGGCCAUAAGGCUUGUAGACGCAGGAAGGAUUUUUUUUUUUCUGGGAAUAUUUUUUGUUUUGGUAAUGUUUGCCAUGUCUACUCCUUCCUAAGGGACAGAUAAUUUGGUAUCUUUCUAAAUUUCUAAUACAAUCAUGAUAUUUAGAUGUUCUACAAAAACACGGGGACCUCUUUUUUCUAAUUAUUAUAACCUGGUACUCACACUAACUUGAUCACUUCUUAGAUUAAUAUGAUCAUAUUUCUGAUUAAUAGGCCAGAGGACUUUGUUAUUGUUUGUGGUGCAACAAUAUUAGAAAUUUAGAAAUGUUGUACGGGUCUGUGGACAUUGAUUAUGUAAGCUAUUAAUCCAGUUAAUUCCGCCUUUCUUAUUUAUUGUUUGAUACUGCACUUUUCAAUUAAGCUGCUAGAGUUCCCUUUUAUAUUUGCUGUAUCUGUCCUAUUUUACAUUCUGCUGCCUGCCUACUCUUCUUUGUUCUCCAUUCUCUGCCCACAAACUUGCUGUGUUUUUGUUACGUUCUCUUCAAUUACCCCAUCAGGUAUAUUCUCAAGUAAUAUAUAAAUUUCUUUCUCCCUUCUUACAAUUUAUCCAUAUAGUUCUUCGAUGAUGGUUUUAAUUUCCUUUAACGAUAAGUAGAAGGUAUGUCAACAAGCACAAAAGUAAAAUGGUCCUAGAGAACAUCUAGUCCAGUAUCUUUGUUAGUUUAUUCGUUGCUAAAAUUUAUGCGCAGUAAUAUAUCAGUACACUAAUUGCACUUGCAUCGAAGUGUGGGGCUGCUUGUGUAUUGUUCUUGCACUUGGUAAUCUCUAAUUCGCAAACUUGCCAUAUUAUUGGUAUGUUGGGCUAACAUAUGAAAUUUAGAUGAUUUUUCGUGAUUGUGCAUUCACUUUAAGCAGAGUGUUGGUUUGAACGAUUCGAGGCUUGGAAUGGGCUUCUUAUCGUUGGUGUUUGGUUUAAAUCGAAUCUCCCAAAAAAAUUCCCACAUAGAGGUGAGAAUUAGUUUUGAUUUCAAAAAAUAUUGAGAAAUUUUUUUUUUUUGCCACUAAUAAUUAUUUGAAUAUAAAUAUUAUAAUUAUUUUUUAUUAAUAAUUAUUUAAAUUUAAAUAUGUUAAAUUAAAUUUUAAUUUUUGAAUUUCACUGCAUACAAGAUUUCGAUUUUGAUUCUUAUUGUGAAUCAAAAAAAUUUAGUUUCUCACUUUUAUUUUUGGUUCCUGAAGGAAAAGUAAAUUAAACUCCCUUUGUACUCAUCUUUUUUUGUAUCAUCGUCAGCCAAUUACUACAUGCUUUUUAUGUUGCUAUAGCAAUAUUAUCUUAAAAUGAAACAUGCUCAUCUUUUUGGUAGGGCGUCAUCAUUAGUCGCUGUUGGGCGCUUGGGCCUCUGCAUCCGAACAAGAAUAGUGAUACUGGUUCAAUGAAUCGGAUGAUAGUGCAUUAUUAAAUAUUAGUUUCUAUUAUAUUAAAUCAUACAUCUCGUGGACAAAUAGGAACACAUACAACAAUCAAUUACCGAAACCAAACUAUUGGCAAUCGAAAAUGGAUCAAAUUAAGCUGAAAUUGUCGGUUCAAUUUAACUUCAGAGUUUUAGUUUUGUUGUUUGAUUUGUCAGAUGACUUUCUUGAUGAGUUAAGUUAGAAUAUUCUCAAAAGCACCAAAAAAGUAAAAUAUUUUUGAAUUUUUAACCAUGGAAUGAAGAGAUGUAGAGUUGAAAUGGUGGUGGUAGGUGAUGGUGGGUAAAAUAGUAUUUGAUUUAAAGACUAUUAGUAAUUAAAAAGUAGAUCUAAGGGUUAAAAAUUUAGAAGCACCAACGAACUUAGGACUUUUAAAAAUAUUCAAGUUCAAUUUCUUUCUCAAUCUCCAUUCUUUUUCUGUGGAAUUUCGUUUGUUGUAAUCAUGUUUGUCAGUUGCCCGUCCCUUUUUAUUUUAUUUCAUUAUCCUUUGGUUGGUUGCGGGCAUGUGGGCCCCGCACAACACAUCAGCAAUAGGGGGGCGUUGCACAGUAGAGUUUUUUUGCGCUUGAGAAUUAGCUGCGGGGCUUCGAAGGCGACGGUCAGAUUGGGCGGCUCUCAUCGCCACAUGAGUUGUGCGCGCCUGUAUGGAUGAGAUAAGUCCGCAAUUUACGAUACUACCCUCGCGAUCUCUUUCAACGCACCACCAUCGUCGGCGGGCGAAAAGUGGGCCGGUCCAAAUUUGGGUCCCACCGUAGUCGGCGGCCCAUGGUUCCUUCUCCUUUUUUUCUUCUGCGCCCCUUGGAAUAGGGGCAAUUUGGGAAGAAAGUAAAAAAAAAAAAAAAAAAAAGGCCUCUCGGAUUAUCUGAAGGGCUGGAAUAUAAUAAUAAUAACCACCGUGAUAUACCACGGUCACGGGCCUUCGCCCUUCUGGCACGGGAUGUGGAGAAAUUAUUUACCGCACCGGGUGUAUGCGCUCGUCUCUACCACACCAUUCUAAUAAUAAUUUUUAAAAAACCAACCGGCAAAGGGCUUGGUGGUUGGUAUCCAAGACUCAAGUUCGAAUCUUAUUUGAUUCAUAUUUCUUGCUAAGUUUAUUUCUAAAUAAAAUAAACGAAGCAGAUAGCAUGCUAUCUUUCUCUAAAAAAAAAACAAAAAAAAAAUUCUAAAACUAGGUAGGAUUGUUUUAUAAUUUAUAAAAAAUGUAUAAAAAGUAUAGUUAUUUGAUAUCUGACUAUUUUCAUAAAAACAUAUGAUUGAUAGGUUGGAAUCUGAUUGGAUAUGCAAUGCACCACGUGCAGGCAAGAAUUGGGUGGUCUGGCUGAUCUGCGCUUGCUGGUCAGUGACAUAUCACGGCGACAGCGUGAAGCAGCAGCGUAUACAGUUCAAGCAAAGGCAACUCUGUAGUGUAGAUACGCACGAAGCAGCAGACCCACCACUUUCGGAAAUAUGAAAAGUCAAAAAAAAAAAAAAAAAGGAGAGAAAAUCCCAAGCAUUUGUGCCCGAUUGCGCGUGCCAACGCGGCGUCGUUGCCCCCCUUCGCGAUUACCGACCGACCGACUAGGGAGGGGCCUCCUUAAAUAAACGAAGCCAACCCCCGCCCCAAUUCCUCUUCUGUGCCUCUCGCUAGGUAGUAGGGGCCAUCUCCUCGAUCAUAUUCCCAAUCUCCUCCAAACCCUACUCCUAAUCCCCCACAAGGAAAAUCAUGGCUCAGCGAGAAAAAGAGGAGACGGAGCUCCAAGCCCCCGAAACCCUCACCCUCUGCGUCAACAACUGCGGCUUCUACGGCAACCCCGCCACCAAUAACAUGUGCAAAACCUGCUUCAAAGCCUCCGCCGCGUCCGCGUCCGCGUCCGCGUGCGCGUGCUCGUCCGCGUCCGCGUCCGCAACCAUCUGCUCCUCUCCGCCGCCCUCUGUCUCCGUCCCCGAGAAGCCGAGAGCGGAUCCGAAGCGGUCGCGUCCGGAUCCGGCGGCGGCGCAAGCGGCGAGGAAGGUGAAACGGUGCGCCCGGUGCACGAAGAGGGUGGGGUUGACGGGGUUCCGGUGCCGGUGCGGCGAGCUGUUCUGCGGGGAGCACCGGUACUCGGACCGGCACGCGUGCGUCUUCGACUACAAGACCGCCGGGAGGGAGGCCAUCGCACGGGAGAAUCCGCUGGUCAGGGCGUCCAAAAUCAUUAAGAUCUGAUCUCGGUUUCGAGGGGACCGUCUAAUUUGGAGCUUAAAUUCGGGACUUGGGAGUAAAACGAAAAGGAGAAGAUACAUAUAUUUUUGUUGGAAUUUGGAAAGAGAGAAAAAAAAAAAUAAUAGUAGUUUUUUACACACAAGAAGAAGAGGAAAAAAAACAAAAAAAACGAGAAAAGGUGCUUCAUUAGCGUUAUUGUGCUUGUGGACUCUUCUCUGGUAUCUAUCGAGAUGUCUAAAAUUUUAUAAUAUUCAGAAAUUUUGUGAUUCAAGUAGAAGAGAAAUAACGCGGUGGAGAUAUUUCGUUUGGUAGUCUGAAAGUUUUAGUUGUUUCUGUGCUACAAUAUUAAAUGAAAAGAAUUCGUCCGAAGGUCAAAGAAUCAGAACAAUACCAGCAAAAGUAAAAGAGGUUUAUAAUGGCGCACGCACCUUAAGAGGGCCCUCUGCAGUGCUCAUGAUGAGUCAUUCACAUAUAUAAUUUUUUUUUUCUUUUUUCUCUUUUACAGCAUUCUGUGAGGGAGAGAGAGAGAGAGAGAGAGAGUGCGGAAAAGAUAUCAAUCUAUCAACUUUUUUUUGUUCAAAUAAAUUUAGUUAAAAUAUAAAAUAAUUAAUAAUUAAAUUUUUAAUUUGAAAUCUUGAGUAUUAACUACCAGAUUUUUUACCAAUUGCUUUAGAUAGGAACAGUCUCUGUUGCACUGUUUUAGCUGCAGCUGUAGGGUAUAUCUCUAUACAUUGACAAUUAUUAUUUGUUUUGUAUAUUCUUAAGCAGUCCGGCAUACCAGUUGCUCAUCAUUAAUAUAUAGCACACUAAUUAUGUUAAAGUUAGAGAACACAUAAAUGAUGAAGAAUGCAUCAAUAGAUACUGGCUAGCUUAGUCCAUCAUGCCAGCUGACUACCACAAGAAGUUCCGGCAUGUAACAAUUUACUUUGCGACCCAAAAAAACAAGAAAAAGGCAAAAAGGGUUGAAAACUCCAUGUAGAGCCCAUUGGGCUGGUUGUCGGUUUUAAUUCCUUAAAUAAAGCUUGGGCUUUCAUCUGCUGAUCGUCCAAAUUUGUUUUCGGGGCCUCCGCAUCAGAGCUAGUGGGCUCAGGCCUGCCCUUAGGUCCCACAUAUCCCAAACUAUGAACUUCUUUCUAUAUUCUGCACCCCUCGCGAUGAACGACGAACAUCCCCGAUGAUCGCGCCCCAACUUGACCGGGCAAUUUCAAGGAAGAAGCGAAUGGUGCGGCGCGCCGUCCAGAAGAAUAGGAAGUGAAAUGAAUCAAUAAAACAGGCUGAUGCAGUUGUUCUAAUUCUACAGUUUUACUUUCCAAGUCAGAAUGUUUGGCGUGAAAUUUCAUAGCUAAGCCAGUUUGACCGGCUGGUUUCAUCCGAUUUUUAAAACAUUGUUUACGUGCUGCGGGUAAGGGCCUGUUGGUCCAUGAAGGCCAUGUUCGAGCCUAAUAUGCUUUGGGCUGGACCUAUAAGUUUAGCAGGCCCCUUUGGAAAAUCUGGCCAAUUUGCAACCUAGGCCUAGGUGAGACGCGAUUUGAAGGCCCAAUUAGGAGAGUUGCGCAUCAAAUCAACGAGUCAGAACUUCCGGUUCGAGCCAGGUGUAGACCAGAUUUACUCUACCCGACACAUCUGCACCGACACGAGCGAAGGGCGUUCACGUGAUGGCUACUUGCGUAAUUUCACGUCGAAGUUUCGGUUUCCUAUAUAAACCCUGUGCUCUCGCAUCUCUAGGGUUUCUUCUCCAGCCGCAGCUCUUGUUUUGCGGUUGUUGGAUCGAGCGAGAGAGAGAGAGAGAGAGAGAGAGAGAGAGAGCGGGGGGGAGCUCGGAGGCGGCGACAAUGGUGGAGAAGGCGAGCAAAGGUAGGAAGGAGGAGGUGGUGACGCGGGAGUACACCAUCAACCUCCACAAACGACUCCAUGGAUGGUAAUCGCCUUUCUCCCCAUUAUCUCGCUUUGGAUUUGUUUUGAACUUAUCUUUUUUCUGUGACGGAGCGAUCGCAGUUAUCUGAAAUUAAGGUGGAUAAAAUGAUGUUGUUCGGAAGCAAUCCUUUUUUGCUAGUUAUUUUCUUCCAUUUUUUUAGGUGUAAUUUGAUUUAUUUUACCAUAUAUAUUUGUUUUGAUUAAGUUCUGUAUGCAGAUAGAUUAAUGGUAAGCUGUGCACUUUGUUCUCCUCUUACGAAAGAGAGUUCUAUUGGAUAUGUAUAAUUGUAGGAGGACGGAAACUUGAUAAAAAGCUCGAGUUCAUGUGGUGCUUAGGAUCUUAUUUUGGCUCAUUAUGAAUCAUAGAUCUAAUCAGAAUGUUGGUGUUGGAUGAUCAUAUAUUCUAGAUAAUAAAGGUUAAAAAUGUGUGGAUACACCCUCAGUUAUGUGUCAUUUUGGGAUAAACAUUCUAAACACUCUUCAACUCUUUUGUUGUGUUGAUUAAUUUGGAGAUUCUGUCGAAGUUAACCAAUCCAUUAGUUAUGCCCUGUUAAUUAUCAACAGAAUCUACAUUCCUGACAGCUGAAAAGCCAAUAAAAUCUCCAAUAACACUAACUCUAAAUGACUUAAAUCAAGUCAAUAUGUUGAGAACUUGAGAUACAUAGUUUGACAAUCUCUUAAUUUUCUCAGUCGUGAGAUUCGUCGAUGCCUCACAUUUUUUCAGCAAUUGUAUUUUCAAUGACUGGAAGUUGUUGUAUGCUUGCAAGAAUUGGGAAAUUUGUAUAGACUGCUAUGGCGAGUAUGAUAACUGUUUAACUUGGCACAGAUAAGUGUCUAUAUUUUUUCAGGAAGAAAAAAUACAAAAAAUUUCGGAGAAAGAGUACAUAAUUGGGUCAAACCAAAUAGGGAACUAUUGUAGUUUUACUGGAGGGGACUCUAAUGGUUGCAAAUAUUGGUGUGGUCUUGGAAACUAGAUCAAACUAAAUAGACUUCUUCUAUCUUCUCUGUAAGGAGGGUUCAAUUAUCCUCUUUUCUGGCUGAAGGGUUUUAUUAAUUUUUCCGAAAAAGCACAAUAUUUCCUUUGCAAUGAUAUAUACAUACUGGCUUUUAUGUGUAACUUUUGACUUGUCAUGCUGUGCGCUGUGGGAGAUAUUGAGAACAUAUAACACCACCUAGCAGUGACUACUUAUAAGAGAGGAUUGAGUAUUCUUGUAGAGGAUAACUGGUUGUAUUUUAUUUGUUAUCUUCGAAAUCAAUAUAGUUAAUGCAAGCUGCGUGCUCAGUGCUCACUCUCUUUUUCGAGCAGCACUUUUAAGAAGAUGGCUCCCAAGGCAAUUAAGGAGAUAAAGAAGUUCGCGGAGAAGGCGAUGGGCACCACUGACGUGAGAGUCGAUGUGAAGCUCAACAAGCACAUAUGGAGCAGAGGGGUUCGAAGCGUACCGAGGCGGGUCCGUGUUAGAAUCGCACGUAAGAGGAACGACGAGGAGGACGCCAAAGAAGAGCUCUUCUCUCUGGUUACAGUUGCUGAGGUCCCUGCGGAGGGGUUCAAGGGCUUGGGGACCAAAAUUGUCGAUGACGAUACAGACUAAGUUAUCUUUUGCUUCUAUCUUUUGUUAUGGUUAUCUAGGUUUCGCGUGCUAGCGUCUGCCUUGGCGAAAAUUUUGGAUUCAUUAAUGAAUUGAUGGACGAUAAAUUAAGGCUGUAUUAGAGAUGUUUGAGAAGUUAUUCUCCUCUCAUGCUGCACAUUCCUGUUUAAUUGUUUUUGAGCUUUUAAGUCGAACAAAUCGAAGUUUUAUUCAACUGUUUACGUCUUCAGCUAGUGAUUGCAGUCCACGUUACUUGUCAACUUUUGGUAUCCUAAUUAUUCUUUGCACUCCUCCACUGGUGGAGGGAAAAAUUAUUGCUUGUGUCUGGUGCGUCGGUACAUUCCUGAACCAUGUUUCUGUUGUCCGUGAAUUCUAUCUGGUAUUUUAAUUUCUUCUCUUCUCAACUAAGUUAUACCAGUUCCUUAGAAAUUCGCAGAACGCCAGUUAAUGGCUUUCUUUCACGGUAAGUACAGGUAAGGACGUCCGUGCUUUGUAUAAUGUUGACGUCGAGUGUUCAAUUUAAAAGUUCAAAACUACAGUAAUAAUUGUUGUAUAUAUAGCCAUUUUGUAAGAACAAUGUGAAAUAUGAUGGAAUUUGCUCACGAUGUGUAUGGUGGUUGUAUAAAGAGGGUUAAAGAGCGAGUUUUUCAUCAUGUUUCUAUAUAUCUACCAUUAUUCGUAUUCUCUCUAUCUGUCUCUUUGGUUUUCAUUUUUAUCCUCUUUUCUUCUCUUACUUAGAAGUAAUGACCAAUAAUCGCCUCGGGGCAUUGGAGCAAUUUGCUUAAUUUGGUAGUGCUUAAUAGGGGCAGGUCCAUGCUCCAUAAGAACAUCUUCUUUCAGCUAAAAAAUCUAUCAUUUAAGAGACAGUCGGAUUAUACAAUACAAUUUUUUAUACAAUAAUUGGCGUAACUCAGUGGGGAUACACCCUUCCCGCUUUAUAUGAUUUCUACAGCUUCUUACAAGGCAUACCAUUUAUAUAUAAUUUUUAUUUUAACUGACACGAGUAAAGAGGUGCAUUCACCUGAGGCGAGAAUCUAUCAGUGCGUUGCUAAAAAUAGCUCAAAAAAUUUGUAGGCAAACGAAGGGACGGGACAAAUUAAAACACUGUCGAGCUGUUUCAGGACAUUGAUUUUCUAACCCAAAAAUGCUCUGCAUACUACUUACAACUUCGAUAUCAUUUUAAACGUCGUGUAAUUUAACGAUUGCUCAUAUGUGCACCUAUUAUGUAAUUAACUAUGAUUAUAUAUGCGCAUUCGUAAGAUGAUGUAGAAGUUGUUAGCAAACACAGCGUUGCUUUUUCUAAAAUUUACAACUUCCUCUAUAUAUUUAAACAGGCAAUCUCUAUCCACACAGCAUGAACUAUUUAGCAGAGACCCCGAAAGCAUUUCCAUAAUACAGGUCUUACUAAUCAAUCUAUGGAAGAAGAUGCAUUGACACACUAAUCUAUAGAACUAGGCUGAAAUGCUAUCAAUAACACAAAACUAUUGGUGCUAUUAAUUUUUUAGCCCUUGAAUUAAAAAAUAUACGGUUAGGAUGAUGUGGGCCCUCUAGGAUUGAGUGAGUGGUUGGUUGAAUAGUACAAUCUAACGAGUAAAAAUAAUCAAAGAAGUUAAUCUAACAAUAAAAAACUUGAUAAUGCCAAGUGCUUGGUGCUAUCGACAGCAUAGCAACCAGACUCCUAAUCUCUAUUAUAUAGUUAAUAUGUUUAUAAAGUAAUUUUUAUUAUAAUAACUCCAGAAUAAUUACCCGCUUUGUUUUAAUUUUUUUAAAAAAAUAUAUAAAUUUAAUUAAAUUUAAAAUUUAAAAUUUAAAAUUUAAAAUAUUGAUAAUUUAAAUUUUUUGACGCUUGCGUUAGAUAUGGUUGGUAAUUUGUCAGUGGAUCGUGAACAGGAGUUGAAUGAAGUAUCUCUCUUUGUUACAGUGUUAGACUUGAGUGGCGACUGUUGAGUGGCAGUUCAAGUAGUAUGAGGCAGCUUCGGGGCGUUUUAGCAGCAGCGGCAGCAUAAGCGCCGCAACAUAAGCGGCUGGGAUUGGGACUAAUAAGCUCGCUCUGUGGGGCUUCUUAUAUCGAACGCAGAGGAAGCCACUUCCGUUCCAUGGCUAUGGCUUUUUGAUUUUUUGAAGCAGCCCCAAUCCUCUAGAGGAUUCCAGGUGCUGCUUCUAAUUGCGAUAAACGGUAAAACCAAUAUCCGGGAGUUUUGAGCGUCGAAACCCCACGAAUCUCCGCAGGAAAGUUGAAGACGACGAAGAAGAAGAAGAAGAAGAAGAAGAAGAAGAGAGGGGAGGAGAGAGAGUGAUGUACGGAUCUCCUCAGGGAGCGGGCACGCGGAAGGAUCUGAGCGGUCCGUUCCCACCGGCGUCGGCAUCGGAGGACUCCGACCUCCUCCUGCUCCACCGCCAUCACGAGCAGCAGCAGCAGAUGACGAGCUCCGGGUUGCUCCGCUACAAGUCGGCGCCGGGCGCCCUGCUCGGCGAAAUCGGCGACGACUUCUUCAACCCCGCAGCGGAGAGCGUGUUGAGCGACUUCUGGGACAAUUCGUCGAACAGUUUCCGGGCGCCGGAGCCGUCUCCGCAGCAGGAUCUCAUCCGCCAAACCAGCUUUCCUGCCCCACCCUUGCACUUCAACGUAGAAAAAGGUAUUCUCUCUCUCUCUCUCUCUCUCUCUCUCUCUCUCUCGCCCUCGCCCUCUCCCUCUCCCUCUCCCUCUCCCUCUCUCUCCGAAAAUUGUAAAAGGUUUACCCGAGAUUACAUAUACGACUCCGGCUCAUCAGAUGCAGUAACAAAGUAUAGAUUGAUGCCUACUGUUCAUCUCCUAUGUUAUUUUGAUAUCCAUGCAUAAAUUAACUUUUUAGCGACUUACUUUGGCUGCUUAGGACCCGGUCACAGCAGAGGCGGUGGCGGCGGUGGCUGCAGGACUUAUAAUCCAGUGGGUUUUCCCAAUAACAAUAACUCGUUGGAUCAAAACCGCUCGGGCCCCAGCCCUUCAGAUCUCCAGGCAUAUCAAUUAGUUUUCUCUCUCUCUCUCAAUCAAUCGUCUUUCGUAAGAGAUUUAAAUGGUUGGUUCUUACACUAUCUGAUUCUUCAGGAUCAGAAUGUAGGGGUGCAGAAGCACCAGGAUUUUGAGCUGGCCCACCAGCUCAGCCUCCCGCUGACCUCAUCGGAGUUGGCCGCCGCGGUCGACAAGUUCGGUCGGCAGUUCCAGGACGCAGUCCCUUGCAGGAUCCGCGCCAAGAGAGGCUGCGCCACCCACCCGCGGAGCAUCGCGGAGAGAGUACGUAAUUAUGCGUCGUUGGUUUCCCGCCAAUCAUUUCAAAUUCUACCUGCGGAUCGAUUGACAGGCUUAUAAUUUUGUGCUUCGUUCAAUAUUCAUCUGCGAACUUGCAGGUGCGGCGAACUCGGAUCAGCGAGAGAAUGAGGAAGCUACAGGAGCUCGUUCCCAACAUGGACAAGGUUGGUUCUUGGUUCUUAUAUAGAUAUAUAUUUGUAUACAUAUAUAUCCAAUGGAACAGUAACUUGUUGCAAAUUUGAUCAAGUAGAAUUAACAUUACGUACUCUGACUUUUUUUUUUCCUUUCCUUUUUUGGUGAUUGGAUGAAUAGCAGCAAACGAGCACUGCCGAAAUGCUAGAUUUGGCCGUUGACUACAUUAAAGACCUGGAGGAGAAAGUCAAGGUAAGUGUAUACGUUGAAGAUGUAAUCCCUUUCCAUCGUGUGGUAGUGCUGUGCGUUUGACAAUGUCUCUGGUUCUUGAAGACGUUGAAGGAGAGCAUGUUUGGAUGCACGUGUUCUUCUAGCAAGAGCUAAAGCCCUAAAGCCCUGCUCCAAAACAAACACCAUGGAUACGGAAGUCAACGCAAUAGCAAGCGCCAAGCAGUGCCGACACAAUUAUAUAUCAACUGCUGAAGGGAGAUAUUCUUAAACUUGGUCGCCAUUCGCUGUUGAAUUUGACUAGAUUUGAUGAAUCGGAUUUGUGGUAGCAAUAACUCUCUUAACGAUGUUAUCCCGUAAAGAUGGCACUUAUCUUGAACUUCUCGUAUGUAUAUCAAUCCAGACUAGCUAUCGACCGAUAUUUAUCGUUGGUUCAAAACUGAAAUGUCAAGAUAAAAAUUGAAGAAUGGAAUAGAACGGACACUACACGAAGUUUUCUUAGGGCUAUCUGUAGAUAGUACAGAAGUGUUUUGAAAGGAUAGAGAUUGGUGAGCUGAACAAAUGUAUAGUGUUUCUUGCUUUGGUAAGUUGAAUGCAUCUGCCACCAUGUUGUGUGUAUAUAUGUACCUGUUUCAAGUAUUAAAGUUCGUUGAACACUAGCUUCUUUUGUACAUCACCGCACGUUUCUUUUUUCCUUUUUUUUUUUUUUUUUUUUUUUUUUUUUUUUUUUGGCUCUAUAUGUCCGGUGUCUGAACGUUGAGAAUUCUCUUGCCGUGGAUGGCCUAACAUGAUCUAAUACUCCAAGUAUUAGUUCACCACAAUGUCUUGGUUGGACGGCAAUUUACCUUUUGCCUUGCAAAAAAAGCUAUGUAUGUACAAGCUUACACAUCAAAUGUCUACUUCAUUUUGGUUGGGGAUAAGACAUACAUUUAUUAACAACGACUAUCAUCUUGGAAACAAUUUUCAGACUCUUGAAAAUUAAGACAUUUAGACGCGCCUUCCGGAGCACUUAAUGUAUUACGCAACAGAACUCAAUUUUGUUUUGAAAUUAACAAAGAAUUAUCCAGUUGUCCCAUACGGGGACCUAAUGAGUUUCUUUUCCUCGUGAAAAUGGCGUCAAAUUUUGAACCAAAUAUGUCUAUAAUCUUUCUCAAAAAAAAAAAAUGUCUAUAACGAAGAAUAACUCUGUAAAAGCCACCGCAAAUACCCAUCUCAAAGAAUACUUUGCAUAAGAUCAUGACGGGUCAAAAAAGUAAUUAACAUUGGAAUUGCGGUUGUGACUUGUGAACGGCAGUGGAAGGAGGUCAAGAUCAGAACAGCCGUAUUUCGCAAUCUCUCUGCCCUCUUCGAAGGGGAAAUACAUGAAAAGGCCACAAAAAAAAAAAAAAGGGAAAAAAAAGAUGACCUUUCCUUUUUUCUUGUUCCCUAUUGGUAUCGGCAGCAGCAACGUAGUACCAAAGACGACUGCCGUACAUACACAUAAAACAGACUCUAAAUCUUCGAUUUUCUCAUUUAAAAAUCUAAACCUUUUUUUAAGUUUUCAAUUUUAAUAUAAAUAAAAAUUGAUUAUAUUGGUGUUAAAAUGUAAAUCAUUGGAUGAAUAAACAGUAAGAUUUAUAUUUAGUUCUUAUGUGUACAUAUAGCAUUGCUCAGUGUGACAUACAAAAAAACAAAAAACAUGCUGGAAGUACUUUCAAUUGCUAACACCCCUUGUAUUAUGUUUUCUACUAAUGAAAACUUAAUACUUUUUAAAACAUAAUUUAAAAAUUGAGAUUGAAAGUACUAAUCAAUGAAGGUUUAAUCCAAUCGACAGAUGAAGCAAUUAUGGUGAUAGAGAGAAGGAGACAGAGACUGGGCGGAAGUGCUCGGUAAAAGAUAAAGGUAGAGGGCAAUGAACAAAGGAAACACACGAUGGAAGCGGCAUCAAUACCUUUCAUCAUACGCGCAUACAUCAAACUUUUCUAUAUAUUGAAGUAAAAAAAACCAGAUACAUGAUAAAUAAAGUCUAAAGCUUCUUAGUAAUGCAACAAAAUAAAAAAGAAUAGAAAUGAACAUAAGAUGCUAAAGAAUACAAGCCCUAAUUUAUAGCUUUAGUAAAAUGAACUUCAUAGUUCUACUUUCUGCAGUAUGUCACGGCACAAAGAUUUUCUCCGCGAUUUCGCUUUGCAAUCACCCAAACUCCAAAGCGGACAUCUGACGGAGGUUUUGGCUUGGAACCUUCUGGAAGCUUCUACGUGGAUCUCGAGGCUGAUUGGCGCGGAUGCCGAGGAGUCAAGAGUCCCUUGGGGUUUCUAGGCAAUAAAUGUAUGACUCUUAGAAUUCCUAUGCAUAUUUAUUAUGACUCUUGGAAGACCGUAGCGUAUUUAUUGGCCUCCCCUUUUGGCUUGUAGUUUCAUACCAUUUGGCAUCUUUUCAUUGGCUUUAUGGGUGGCGAGUGGCCUAUAUAUAGUGUGGCCUCCACCCCCUCUCAUUUCAGAAUCUACUUUGUAUUCUCAAGUUGAAGUAAUAGAAUAGCUUUCUUCUUAUCUCUCUCUUGUACUUAGUCUAGGGCGAGUGAGGUCCUAACUUGUCGAGUAGAGAGGCAGGCUUGCUCACUUCGCGAAGGAAGGCGAGCGCCGCACGGGCUUUUGCGAGCAAAUUCGUUAAGUCCGUGACAAGUAGCUCCUUUUGAAGAUUCAAAAAUCAAAAAGCACGCUAGGAGAUGAAAACCUACGGCGUAGAAGUAUCACGCAUGAUGCUUUUCCAGUAUAAAGAUUCCAACAAUUAUUUUUUAUGAUUGGACGAGCGCAAAUUAAAGUUAGUUCCAAUGGUUUUUGUGAAUAUCUAAAGCAGCAACAUUUUACUCCUUGGAAAAGGCAUUCAAAAGCAGAACCAUUUGAUAUAAGGACUGAAGGGCAAAGAACAGAAAAAUGAAAGAAAAUGAUAAUACAAAAAAACACACCUACAUCAUAAUACAAAUGCAAAACCAUUUGGUUAUGCAGGUCCGAGAACAUGAAAGCGCAAGUCUCUCUAUUUGUUUGUCCAUGUCAAAGCAGGUUAAUACUUUUAUAAGUAAUAAGCACUCAGAAGGCCCUUUCUUGGCCAAUGACUGAGAAGGGAUUUAAAAAUAAUAUAAUAAUAAUAAUAAAGAAGAGGAAGAAGAAGAUAGAGAAAGUAGAGGGAAGAAUUUUUUUUUUAGCCCGAAGGGUAUUUCCUUCCACUGUUAAGUGGUAAAGAGCUUUUAUCCUGCUGUGAUUUAACAAAACUGAAAAAUAUAAAUCUCAACAGAGUCGACUGAUGUAAUACCCGACACUGAAAACCCCAAAAUUCCCAGCCAAAACAAGUCUUGGCCUGCAAUGAAGAAUCAAUCGAACUUAGCCAUCGACGCCAACAUAAAGUUCUACUUUGUUCAAACAAGAAUUGGAUUUGUCGCAUAGCACUAUUAUCAUCAGCAUCAAAAGAAAACAGGAAAAGAAAGAUUCAAAGGUAAAAUAUGCAUAAGAAGGUAAACUCAGGUGCAUACCUCUUUUAUGAUCAAAGACGUACCUUAGUGUACCGUUGCAUACCAGGAGAAUAAGAUUGCACAGCACCACAAAAUAAAAAAAAAAAGAAUUUUCUGGCUACCAAAUUCGAGAAAGAUGCUUCCCUAGGCUGAUACAUUCGAAAAAUGAUGCAUCACCUUUCAAGUAGUUGGAUACAUAGAAUGAAGUGAAGGACAACUCGUAAGUCAACAACUAGAAAGAUCAAAGAUUAGUUCGACUCUCUGGUUCCCAAGGGGAAUGCUCUUGUUAUUCUGAUUCUUUCCACAAGCCCUCUGAAAGUACCAGCCUAUUAUACCUAGCCCUUUCCCCACACUUACCUUCGCUCAAAAUGUAAGUUUUUACCACACUUUAUAAAAUGAAAUACAAACUUAUUUUUCUUUUUAUAAAAUGAAAUACAAAUUUUUUUUUCUUUUUUCUUUGUUUUUUUUUUUUUUUAAGGCAAGACUACUAUCUUUGACACAAGAGGUCACAACCAGUGUAGAGGUCAAGAUGGCAGAAAAGAUAGGCAAUUCUCUAAUCUACCAUCUUGUACUCUUCUGCAUUAUACACAUACAUCUUCUCUUUUUGACUCUAAGUUGACCUAUCAAAUCUUUCCCAUAAAAACCAUUGCCAAAUAUUUCUCCAUUCAGACUGUGCUGCGAGUCAAUUGUAGAUAUUAGUUAUACAGAAUGAGCCAGUACUACACAGUAAACAGCAACAAUUACGUAUUUAGUCCCUCUACCUACGAGUGUUUUCAGUAGUACCGUAUUUUGCGAUGAUGAUGUUGACUUUCUUCUCGCGUAUAUUAUCUUCGAAAUAUGAAACUAAUCUACUCAAAACUUCCAUAUUCUCGGUGGAGAUCACUGAAGUUCUCUCAUGAAACUGUAACUUAAAAAAAAAAAAAAAUCAUAGCCAGUCCUGCGUAAAGAAUGGCUUUAUAGCCACUAUGGCCCUAAUCUGAUGUUAUCUAACUCCUUACUCCUGACCGCACGAACCUCCACACCAGCACAAAGAGACAAACAACCUCUUUAAUGAGAUAAAAAAAGGGAGAAGAAAAAAGCUUUGUGAACAUAAUAAGCAAGCUAUCAUGAUGUGUUUCUACACCCGGCAAAAAAAAUUCCAACUUCUGGUUGUGAUCAAAAGUUCGUCAAACGUACUUCCUAAAUCUGAAGAAUCAAGAGACACUCCAUAUGCGACAACCUUAAAUUUCAUUCUUAUAGGAAGAUGGUUGGGCAAAAAUAACCAAACUGAAAUUGAUGUUGCAAAUCUUAUCCAAAGAGAAAUGCUGUUACAGAUAUAAAGUCCAGCAGCCUCAGUGAAGGCAAUCAAAUUCAUGCAAAGAGGAACAAAUGGAUCAAAAUUUUUAAAUCUAUCACAACGAUCAAGAAUGGAUUGACGAGAAGCCCUUCUGAAACAGGCAUCGCCUGAGAACAAUUGUGAAUGUUAAAUCAGCAAUAUCUCAUUGUGCAUCACCUCGAGUGCCAGAGCUGACAAUAAGGCUAACAAAAUGCUGCUUUAAUUCUUAAAGGAAAUCACAUAUAAAAUAAUAGAGAAUACACUUACUAAUAUAACAGCAGAAAAUUUCUAGUUCUAGGGACUUUAGAACCGAGGUAAUAUUGUUGUAUCUGCAUUAGCUUAUGAGACAGGAAAGCUUCAAAAAGCAGAAUCUAAGCAGCAUAACCUCUUCUAACCAUACCAGUCUGUUCAAAUGUUCUAUGAAAAAUGCAUAUCUAGUAAGAAAGAAGAUGGAUUAAUCUAGAAGAUCAGAACUGCUAGUCUCAAUGCAGAGCAGGAGAUAACAUUAUGAAACUUUUUUUUAACACUGAAGCGAUAACUGGUGAUCACACUUGAUGGGGAUCUUAGGUUACAUUUGGUUGCUAGAGCAAGUUAUUCAAUAAUGUCUUGUGCACUAUAGGGUGCUCUUUUGUGAUUGCAAUCUAGGAUUUUGCCAUUAGUCUAUUGCAAGGUUGCCUGCGAGAUUCUUAAUCUGCGAAAUUACUUAGAGGUCGCUUAUACUAUGCUGUGGUAGAUAUUUAAUCAUUUCUUUUGAGGACAAUGAUAGACAUUUAAUCAUACCUCCCAUCUACCAAUUACUGCAAGGCUCUUAAGAAACAAUAGAGAUGUAGUAAAUAAGAAGUUUAGCGGUCCGAACACCCCCUGCAGAUCUCAUCAUCGUACAAAGGAUUAGGUCUACAGCAUGAUGACACCGAACUUUGAGAUCAUUGUACUACGGAUUAUGCCUAAGAAUAAGCACAUUAUGAUGACAUUCAACAAAAGUUAAGCACAUAAUGAUCACCAGAGACUCUCCAAACUUUCAGAUAUUGUAAGGAUUUCCAGAUUCCAUUCGACAGCUUGACCAAAUAUUCCAUACGGACACUAUUAACCAGUUGCACCAUACUUUUCAUAGCACCGAACAAUUAUAAACAACUAUAAUAAUAAAAUCUCCAGAAUUAAGUACAAAUCCAAAAAUAUUAAGAUAUAAAAAAGUGAAUUAAAGGAAAGUUCUGCAGUAUAACCAAUAGAACUAAUAGCUAAAAAAAGAGAUGAUAACAAAAAGAAAAAAAAGGAAAAAUGCACGCGAUCGCCGAUUAAAAUUAUGUAAAAUGAUAGCGGAAUUCGGGAAAAUCAUACGGAUGAAUAUAAGAGAAACGCAGAUAAAAACAUACCGAAAAACCAAAAUGCGGAAUCCUAGCGGAAGCGCACGGGUCAGAAGUAGAGCGCCAUCUGGAUGUUCCUCUCCUCGAACCCGCACUUCUCGUAGAAGCCCUUGAGCUCGGGGGUGCAAUCGAGGAUCACCUUGUAGCAUCCUGCGGCCUUCGCGUAGUCCGAGAGGUAGCGGAGCACGCGGUGGCCGAGGCCGAGCCCGCGCGCGGCGGCGUCGACGACGACGUCCUCGACGUGGCCGACCUUGCCCCCCCCGCGCAGGAACUUCCUCUCGACGAAGACGCUCCCCGUGGCGACGAUGCGCCCGGAUCGGGGGUCUUCGGCGACGCAGACGAGGUGAUCGUCGCCGAGGGCCGCGAGCUCGCCGAAGCGAUCGCGGAAAUCAUCGGCGGAGAGGGCGGGGCAGGGGCUGAGUUGGCCGAGGAGCUCCACGAAGCCCUUCGCGUGGUCGGAGAUCUCGAGGCGCCGGAUCGGGAGGAGAUCUCCUUCUCCUCCAGCGACGGCGUCUACCUCCGCCGCUUCGGCCGCCGCCGCCGCCGCCGUGGCGGAUCCGUUCUCCAUCUUCUUGGCGUGAGGAGGAAGAAGAUGAGGCGAUUCGAGGAGCGGGGAUGGAGGAGUGGAACCGUGUACGGAUUGUGAACUGUUGCGUCCUUUAUACCUUCUUCGAAUUGUGAACUGUUGCGUCCUUUAUACCUUCUUCGAGAGGAAUAAAAGAAAUAUUAAAAAUAGCCUCCUACGGGGUUCGCGAAAAUCCAACGGUGUAACUUUAUUCUUUUUCUUAAUUAAUUUUAAUUUAACAAUAACGCGGGAGAGUAUUAGCGAAGUGCGUUACGCCGACCGCCUGCGGGCUCCGGGGCUCCUGGGACGGAAAUGUUUUUUUAUAUCAGACUUGUUGUGCGAAUUAUAGGCGAGACCACAGUCACACACGUGAUGUCCAUACGCUAAUGUUUUCGUUUUAAAACGUAUUUUUUAUUUAAUUAAGUUCAAUUAUCAUUAUAGUGCAAUCUAAGUGCAAUCACUAUAUGAUGAAUAAAUAGUGAGAACAUGUACACUCAACCUGAACGAUAGAUUAUUUUUUAAAAAAAAGUAUAAACUUUACGAACGAGUUUUGAAAUUAAAAAAAAAAACGACUCAAAAUCUUUAAGAUGAGGCACUUUUCACAUAAAGCCUGUCUAUAUCAAUACUUCUCCACUACUUGCAAAGCCACCCGAUGCGGCGACGGGUGCCAAACCGAACACGAGUAGGAGGAAACCAAACACCUGACCACCUCUCUGCUUGCGUUUGUGCGCCAUGCUGUGCUUCCCAACGCUGAGCCAAACACCCACUGUAGUCCAUUAAUUUGUGUUUUCAGUUACAAUAAAUUGGGCUGGAUCUGGCUUGAUUAUAAUGGGCCAAGCACAGGAUUUAGGCCCCACACUCUACUUACGGGCCCCCAAUGGGCCGUUAACAAAGCUGACCCAGAUUCGGCCCAUUUGCAGCUCUAAGAUAAACCAUUAUUAGAUAGAGUUACUGGAAGGAUGACGUGGCAGACCGUUAGGAAUGCACCGCGUCACUCAUACGUUCUGCUUCCCCUUGUAAGCUGGCUUACGUGGACGGACGCUGCAUUGAUAUCAUUGAUGUUAAAUAAAAUAAAAAUUUUAUUAUUAUAGGUAUAUAAAAGUUUUUAAUUAAAUAUUUUUAUCCUACCCUCUUGGUCUUGUGACGUCAAACAAGCAAGAAACGUUAACUAAAUACUUUUUCCCACAAUUUUUAUGCGCCAAUUUGUUGACCUACAAGUAAUAAUGACGAGAACAAAAUUAUAAAAUGUCUAAAUAAAAACCUUCUUAAAUUGCUAUCGGCCAUAGUGCACGUCAGUAACUGCGUGCAUUGCUUUCCGUGCUUGCGCACUUGUUGAAUUGGUUAUUAACGUGCUGGAUUAGCCGUCCAAUUUUUUACUUUGCAAGUUUGAUCGUACGGCCCAAAAUUUCCCGCGUACUUACUGUUAGAUCCCUUCUAUGCGUCGUUCGUCGCACGCCUGUACUUAUUUCCUACUUAUUUCCACGUCGCGUGCCCCUUCCUUGCUUAGAAAAAAUACAAACCGUACCGAGUCUUGUUCCUACUGGGUACGCUGAUCCAACGGUUGGGAUUGAAUCCUCAAUGCAUCACGCGGCCCGGACUUCCUACGCAAUCGUCCACGCGUUUCUAACGAACGGCCCAAAAAACUUAUUGCCUGCCUUGGGUGCAUUCUCACAAUCCGUAGACCGUCGUGGCAACGGCCAUCGAACGGUACGAAUUGAAACUAACGAUGGAAUGGAGGAUGAUAGAUGGCGGGUGUACGGUGUGUAUGGAUGAGCUUUGUGCAGCCAAAAUUUCGUCUUCGAAAAGGGCCGAGAAAAUCGGCACCGGCCCAUUAAAAAAUAGACCGCUCCUACGUGCAAUUCGCACGCAGAAGCCCAUUUCCACGAUAAUCUUAUUCAUCUACAUUUAACACUUCUCCGAUUCCAGCUUACGUCGGGAAUCUCCAGAAUUUCCCAUUUCGCAGAGAGUGGAAUCUUCUGAUAUUCUGGCGAGAGUUUUAAUUUUACUUAUUAUUAGACUUAAAAAAAAAAAAAAAGAUGGUUCGUCGUUUUCCUUCUUCUCCUCCUCCGCCUUUGAGGAUAUUUACAUGCGGAGGAGAAGGAGAAGGGGAGAUCGUGUGCUUAUAGAUUCGUGGGAAGGAGUGGGCGCUAGAUCCUCGCUUCGCACGUGAUCUGCGAAGAGGGAGUGAAAAGGUGGUGUAGGGGGAGGCGAUCGAGUGCGUGGCGGGGAGCUCGAGGGCGGAGGAGUGGGGCGGGGGGGAGACGCCGCAAACGGGGGACGUGGUGGAGGAGAUCACGAUCGGGGCGGCGGCGGUGAUGAGGGCGCCGUUCAAGGGGGGGAGGGGCGGGGUGGAGAAGCUGCUGCACGCGGCGUACAAGCGCGGGAACGCCUGCAUCGUCCCCAGCGGGCCCCUCGGGCGCCGCCGCUACGUGCUCCGAUCCAUCCACGACCCCAACUACGCCGUCGCCUUCGUCGACCGCUCCGAGGGCGAGUGCCUCGUCCUGCAGGGUAAGCCCCCUUUCCGCCGCUAUUUACCAUUUUGCCACGCCACUACUGUACUAUACGACGAGGUUAACUGAUCUUUCUUUCUUUCUUUCUUUCUUUUUCUUUUUUGUGUUUUAGAGAUGAAGUUAAUUUUACUUGAUUUUGCUUUUAUUGGCAAAUUUACCAAGUCCGGUUGGAAAGUGCGAGUUACCAACUUCUUUUCACAAAAAAAGAAAAAGCUUUUUAUUCUCUAGCAAGUAAUAAGGGAAUUAUCAUGCCAAAUCAGAGUUGAUUACUUUGAGUAAAUAGGAACAACUCAGGGUCAAAUUCUCUGCUGUUAAAUUUAUAAUUUCAAAGCAGGUUGAGUAAUAACUAAUUAAAUCAGCAUCGGCGAUCCAUGUGAAAGUUGCAAGGUUUCGUAGAGUGAUUUUUGCAAUCAAAGCAAGAAAGUUUCAGUCAUAGAUGUUAAACUUUGCAGUGAUUCUUCUUGUUGUUUAUUGUGCCUUUGUACUUGCAUAUUGUGUUCUCUUGUCUUUAUUCAGGGACAAAAUAAAUGUGUGAUUCAUGUAAAUGUACUUACUGAGAACCUGACCGAGCAACCAGAAAUAUAAGAUUUCCCCUGGCAUGAAAAAAAUGACAUGUUUUCUUCUACGAAUUUACAUGAUAAUACUAGUGUCCAAAUGUAGUGUCUCACUGUGAAGGGCAUCAUCUAUAACACAUUUUUCAUAAAGUUUUAAUCAACACAGAGAGAGAGGGAAAAAAAAAAAAGAAAAAAAGAAAAAAAGAAAAAAAGAAGGAAGCAUUACCUGUACUUAUUUUGCAUUGCUGAAGAGAGCUUGUUGAUCUCAAGUUUGCACUAGCAUCAUUCUUAAUUACUUGUGAAGGGUCGAGGAGCUCGAGGAUUGCUUUUGCACUGAGCAAGGCUCAGCUGCAGGAUGGGUAUGUAUCAUAUCCAUGGGAGAAGAAGAUGAAGGAAGCACUUCCCAUCCCCGAAUCGAGCCGCUUCCUCUCCAUGCUCAUCCUUCCCAAGGCACUCGAUGCCACUGCUUCUCGCUACAGCUCACUCGAAGACACACUGGCCCGUGCAGAAGCAUGGCUGCUCUCCUCUCAGGCCUCUGGGGUCCCUGUUGUUUUCAUCAAUGUGCAGACCGAGGCUCUGCUUACCAAGGUAAUUCAACGUCAUAAAAGGAAAAUGUACAAAUAGCCACAAAAAUUUUGAUUAUUACAGUAUAUCCCUGGCGUUUCACACAGGUAGAUCAAUUGCUUAUAUAUUACCUAAUUUUUGCAGUGCUAUCAAUAAUUUUGAUUUUACUUGGUAAUCCAAUCUCCUGUUAAAUGACCUACAACGCAUCCCUUCCCUGCAAUCCAAUUUGCUGAGUAAAUUUAGUUACGAUCAUGUAGACAACAUCUGUUGUACAUAGGCCUCGGGGAUUCUAGGUCAACAAAGAAUCUAGUGUUAUGCUAUUAGAGUAGUUGAAGGUUCACAGACUAUAAUAAUCUCCCAAAAGAGAUUUAGAACAUUGAACUGCAAAAUUUCCUAAGUAGCACAUGCAAAGCAAUUGCUAUGGCGAGUAUAAAUUGCAUCCUCAAACACUUCUAACGAUUAUGUUGUGCAGAUAUCUGGCGAGGCAGCUUCUGCGACUGUUAAUUCACGAUCCAUAGGUGACCUUGUGAAUCUCGCGAAUGCUAGCCUCUACGGUUUUGAAGACUACCACGGUGUGGACAUUGGAGUGGUUAAGGCAGUUAGGCUUUGGUAUACAGCUGCUGCUGGAGAACUGCCCGUCGAGAUUACUCUUCAAGAAGGCGACACUAGGCUGGGCUUCUCAAUCAGUCGCACUGAGGAGGUUUUUCUCUUGACUUAAAACUUGCUGCAGCUUAAAAUUUGCUGCAGUUUGUUAGUUUAUACCAUUCCAUAAUAUCAGUUUCGCCGUUGCUACAACUAUUAAUAACAUCAUUUAAUAGGUUUUUUUGCUUUGGAACUAUCCGAAAGUAUAUUUAUUUAUGUAUGUUUGCCUUUAACGUUUACAUGUAGGCUUAUAUCCUCAAGAAGUCCAACAAAUAUUUAUAUCUUCAGACGGACGUUCAUCAAUCUUUUUAUUAUUAGAAUCUUAAUGUGUAGUCUGAAUCUUUGUAUGAGCCACAAAAUGACAUUAAUAAUCCUUAAACUUCUUAUCUCUAUUCAUAUUACUCUUGGGUUGAAGAAACCUGAACCGAGUCAAGCAUGUAACCUUUGAUUGCCGGUGAAUUUAACACCAUCUGUGCCAACAAAUGAUGUUCUAUAGGGUACUGAUACAAAUAAAGGUUGUAUCUAUAAAUACGCAUAGAGGUGCCUAUGUAAAGAAGAGAUCGCUUCUCGAGUAGUAAGCUUUUUAUAGGGGAAAAAUUAAAUAAGAGUAACAAUCUUUUGCUCCUUUUGUAAUGUUUACAGGGGUUCAUCUACAUAUCUUCUGUUGUCGAGGACGACCAAGACAAUGAAACCCCUUCCACACGGUCCGGGCUCAGAGAUCUAUACAGAGAAGCUAAAAGCGCCUCGAAGCUUCUAGUAAUCUCAAGAGUUUCUAACCAAAAAAUGCUUCCCUGGAUGGCUUCCUCCUCGGGUGGCAUUCGGUGCUUCGACACAGUUUCCCUCAGCAAAAAACUCUCACUACACCGCCACGCGCUGCAACCAAUUCUAAUCCAUGUGCUCAAGUGGGAGAGGCCGGUUGAGUUGAGUGGUCCGAUGGUGCUCCCUCCUUCAGCGCAAGUACUGCCGCCGUCUGUGCUCGAUGAAAUACCGCCAAUCUUGGUUUCGAGUGCAGACUCAGAGGCAACAUUAGAGAGGGAUACUGCAGGGGAUGCGUCCUUUAGGUUUCAUGAUUUCACCUUGCCGAACAAUUGGGUUUGAACUUAUGCUUAACAUUUUGCUAGUUAAAUGUAUAUAUAUAUAUGUGUAAAUUAUGUUUUAUACAUCUUUUCGUUAAUGAGAUAGUGAGAUUAUCCAUGAGCAGUUGGCUUUUUUGUGCUUAGAAAGGGGCUGUGGGGUCGUAUCUCACCAAUGACAUAUGAAAGGGUUAAUUAAGUGUCAGUUGUAUACAAAACUCUUCUUUUAGUUUUCAGAAGUUUAUACCGUUUGCGUGGCUCCGACGAUUUAUGUCUCCGACGAUUUAUGUCUGUAGUGCUGCAACAAGUGAAUGUUUCAUGAAAUAAGUUGGUAUAAUUGGGUUUAUGUAGAAGUUUAUCUAAUGUGAUAUGCACAAUAAUGUUCAGAAAAUAAUUAAAUAUGCAAGUAAAUUGAUUAACUUUCGUCUUUCUACACGGUCCACUUUAUUCAUGCACAAAUGUGUGAGGAACAUCUUGUGGCGUUAGGUACUUGUAUUUUGGAAUGCAUAGACUACUGUUCAGUGUUCAGAGACUCGGUCACUCAGCGCAGGGCCGGACGGGCCCUAAUUCAAUUAACAUGGUAGAAGGAGGCAGCCCAAUUCGAAACGUUUCCUGUCCAGCCCACUGAAGCCCAUGAUCAACUGGUUGUUAGGGUGCUGCAAUCUGUAAGCCUCCUAUUGGCUCCGGGAAGGGGCACCCGGAUCGCGAUCCGCGUGCUUCCAAGCGACGAAAUCUCAUCCGUCGAAUAAGAUUUAAUCGGACGAACAGAAAACUGUUCAGCGAAAAAGCAGGAACGCCUUUCCCGCCUCUCUCUCUCCCCGCUCCCUCCUCGUCCCAAAUUCCAAAUUCCAAUCUCCCCCUCCCCCCCUCCUCGCCGGGGCUACAAAUACCGUCAUCACCAUCAAACAAGCAGAAGAAUCCCAUCUCCAUCUCCCCCACUCGAGCAGAGCAAGGGCAAGAGCAAGAGCAAAAGCAAAGCAAAUUAGAGCAGGGCAGAGCAGAGCAGAGAGGAUGGCUCGGACGAAGCAGACGGCGCGGAAGUCGACGGGGGGGAAGGCGCCGCGGAAGCAGCUGGCGACGAAGGCGGCGCGGAAGUCGGCGCCGGCGACGGGGGGGGUGAAGAAGCCGCACCGGUUCCGGCCGGGGACGGUGGCGCUGCGGGAGAUCCGCAAGUACCAGAAGAGCACGGAGCUGCUGAUCCGGAAGCUGCCCUUCCAGCGCCUCGUGAGGGAGAUCGCGCAGGACUUCAAGACGGACCUGCGCUUCCAGAGCUCCGCCGUCGCCGCGCUGCAGGAGGCCGCCGAGGCCUACCUGGUCGGGCUCUUCGAGGACACCAACCUCUGCGCCAUCCACGCCAAGCGCGUCACCAUCAUGCCCAAGGACAUCCAGCUCGCCCGCCGCAUCCGCGGAGAGCGCGCCUAGAAAUCUGAUAUUAUAUUACAUCAAUCAAUCACGCCCUUUCCUUGCCUUUCCCUUCCUCCUCUUAAGCAUAGGAUGUUUUGUAUGUACGUUUGUGUCUGUGUUCUCCUCUGCUCUUGAGUUUGUUCUAGUGAUGUUUCUGAUCUACUAGUGAAAAUGGGUUGGUUUAUAUGUCGGUGGUGGUUGCUUUCAUUUCGAAUGUGAUUGUGAAUGCGCGACGGACGUUUUAGUCCCUUCUCGUACUUUUUGGUACGCUCUGGUUGAAUAAACAACCUCAUAUCAGCUGGAGAGUUAAAAAGAAAUUCAAUGAUAGGAAAAGAGGUGAAAUCGUCGGAUGGGGCUUCCUCUCACGGAAGCUUUAAAACAGAGUAAAACACCUGUUCUCGAACACACAAAGACCUAUUCAUUCAUUGUACAUUAUAUAAUCCAAUCAUCAAACACCCGACUACUAUUUACUUACCUUAAUAAGUGCGUUAUGCUAGCAACGUAUCUUAUAACUUAUUCAUUACAACCAUCCCCAAACACCCAAAUAAACUAAACGUGUACUAAAUGUUAUAUUUAAACCACCUUGCUUAGAUAUCUGGAAACGGAUCCAAGCGGGGCACCGGGACCAGAAUAAGCGGGUGGGCUCGUGCGCUCACCAACCCAACCCCCUCCUCCAUGUCCACCAACCUCCCCUUCCCUUCUUGCCCACUGCUGCUGCUGCUGCUGCCGCUGUCGCCGCUCACCUCCCAAUCGAAGCACUGCACUAAUGCUGCGAACGCUGCCGGCACCGCCUGCAGGGCAAGUGUCAUCCCCGGGCACCACCUUCUACCGCUGCCAAAUGGUAUCAGCUGAAAAUGCUGCCCCCUCAUGUCGACCGCCGCCCGAUCAUCAACAAACCUCUCCGGUCGGAACUCCGACGGGUUCUCCCAGUAUUUCGGGUCGCGACCGACAGACCAUACAUUGACGAAGAGUGAGGAGCCGGCCGGUAUGUCGUAGCCACCGACCGUGACGUCUCUUGUUGCCAGGCGGGUAAUGAGGGGGGCUGGCGGGUGGAGACGCAUGAUUUCUUUGACGGCGGCUUGGAGGUAGGGGAGGUUCGGGAGGUCAGUCUCGUCGACGACCCGGCCAUUUCCAACGACCUGAUCGAUCUCUCGCCGUAGUUUCUGCAGUACGUGAGGGUGGUUGAGUGUUUCGGCGAGCACCCAUUCUAUUGAGGCGGCGGUUGUGUCAGAUCCGGCGGUAAAAAUGUCCUGUACAUAGGCAUAGGCUUGUAUUCAUAAUUAGUUAAUGGCCAACAGCAAUGCAAUCUAUACAUCUACACCCAAAAAAAAAAGAGCAAUUUCACCACUACCCCUCUUAAAUAUCUAAAUAUCGUAAAUACCCCUAUAAAAUUGAAAAUAUCAUAUAUACCCCUUCAAAUGUAGAAAAUUAUCACAAAUACUCUUUUUUCUAACGGACGUUAAGAUUAGGUUAUAAAAUGACUAAUUUAUCCUCGGUUGGGGUGUUCUUUUGACAGCAACUAAUAAAGAAAUAAUUUCAUAAAUACCCUUCAAAUUUUAAAAAUAAUAUUUUUAGUACUAAUUAUUGGUAGAUAAAAUAUGUGGAAACAUCAUCUAACCGCACAUCUCUUAAUCCAAUGGACACAAAUCUACAACCACUAAUAACUUGAUACUUUUAAAAAUAUAGGAGCUCAAUUAAUUAAUUAAUUUUAUAUAUAUAUAUAUAUAUAUAUUAUUCAAAGCUAGGGCCAUGCCAAAGUGGACUAAUGGGUGAGCGGGUCUUCAUACAAUGUUAAUUUUUUGUUGACAAUAAAUGUGCAAUUAAAAAACUGUUGCUUGAUUGGGUCAUAUGAAAAAUACUAAUAUCAAAAAAAAUUUAUAUCAAAACAUUUUUUGUAUGACUUAUGUGAGUUAUUUAAAUAAAAUUCAAAAAAAUUAAAUCUUGAAAUUAAUAUUGAAUAUUACAAUGGAAUAUUGCAUUACAACUAUAUAUAAUUUACAUGCGAAAAAUUAUAACAAGAUUUAAUUAUUACACUUAAUAGACUAUAGAUAUUUAAUUGUAAAAUUUUAAAAAGAAUGUUGAAUUAUUAUGUGAUUGAAAGGUUAAGAAUUGAUCUUGAUCAUGUAAUUAAUCUUAAAUUAUUACACUUAGUUAAAUUAGUAAUUAAUAAGGGUAAAAUGGGUAUUUACAGAAUAUUAGAUGACUUUUUAACGGAAUGUUAAUCUUAAGGGUAUUUGUGAAUAUUUUUGUUUUAUAGAGGGGUAUUGCUGAUAUUUUGUAAUUUAUAGGGGCAUUUAUGAAAUUCCUAUCUCUUAGAAGGGUAUUGAUGAAAUUAUCCCAAAAAAAAAAACAAAUUCGCUGUUCUCUAUAUUCAAAUUUUCUAUAUUUUUUAUAUUAAAAAUAUAAACAAAUUAUCGAAAUUUUUGGAUGAGUUAAAUGUGUAUGUUAUACUCAAUUGGAUAUAUGAUUAGCACUUUAAUAAGAAUAAUUGCUAUUAAUAUGCCAACGAUCAACCAAAGGACGAGAAUAUCAUUAAUACGUAGCUCAGACUUUGACUUUCUUUGAACUAUCUGUAUAACACGUGUGGAUAAAUAUUUUUUUUUUUUUUUUGAGAGAUACGUAGCACGCUACCGGCUUCGUUUAUUUCAUUUAAAAAUAAACUUAGCUGGAAAUAUGAAUCAACUAGGAUUUGAACUUAGGUCUCGAAUACCAACCACCAAAAACUUUACCAUUUGCUCUAGGAACGUGUGGAUAAAUGUAUUAAGAGAUCCGAGUGCCAAAAGAUCUUAUAGGAGAGAUCUUGAAUGCCCUUUUAUCCCACUAAUAAGAUAACAAAUAUAAUUAUGUAUUUGCUAAUCUAUUUUAAAGAGUAAUACUUCAAUACACCAUAUAAAUCUUGAUCAUUUAUUUUUUUUAAUAGAUAGUUUAGAUUUAAUAUGACUCUAGAUAUGACUUACUAUUGAAGCGUAGGUACUAUUUACCAAGUACCUAUUUAAAGAGUAUUUUGGUUUUUGUAAAAUAUUUUGGUCUACAAAGCCAGUUUUAUCCAACUAAGAAUAUUAUGAUAUUUUUAAAUACCUACAACAAUAGUUGGAUUUUAAAUUACAAUCAAAUUGUAAAUUUAAAUUCAAAACAACAUUUAAAACUUAAUUAUAGAUCAAAUUCAAUUUUUUUAAAUAUAAAAUACAAAUUUAAAGUAAAACUUUCAGUUCCAAUUCAAAAUUUUAAUUUAAAUCAAAAAUUAAAAUUUGGCUUUAAGAUUAAAAGUUCAUUUUAGAUUCAAAUUUAAAAGUUUAAUAUAAAUUUCAAAAUUAAAAUUUUACAUUACAAUACCAACUUUAAAAAUUAAAUUUAAAUUCAAUAUUUUUUUUGAGCUGUUUACUUAACAAAUUGGGUAUUAUCUAAUUUGAUAAGUUACCAAAGAGAAUAAAAUAUUUAAUGUUAUAGGAUGCUGACAAAUUUAGUAUAUAUUACUAAAUUUUUUUUUUCAAUAUUAUCAUAUUAACUAAUUCAAAUCGGUAACCUGUUCAACAUGUUACUUCAUGUAAAACUCUAUUAAACCUUUUACUAAUUAAGAAUAAAAUUUUAAUAUUUAUGGUAUAUCGAAUCAUUCCUCUUUUAGAGUAAAAGUAGCUUAAUUAUUAAGAUUAUUAACUCUUCUUAUAGUUCUUUUUUUCCCACCAAAAACUUACGGAGCUGUAAUUGGGUCAUGUUAAAUAGGCAUCUCAACUUAUACACUUCGGCCUUUUUCUUUCUUUUUUAUUAUUUUCAAACCUAAUUAAUUAUUGAGAUUUUCAUUAAAUUUAUAACAGGUCUGAUAUUGAUUCUGCUUACGAAACUGUCGAUUAAUUAACAGUUUAAUUAACAGUGGUUAAGUACCAUUAAUUAAAAAGAGAAGGAAAAUCCGAUUCACAUGAUGAGAAUCUUCAAGCGAUUUCUCCUCUCCAUAAAACAGGGAGGAAAAGAAAAAAAAAAAAACCCUUGCAUGCCUUAAUGCAAUUGUUCUUCUAUUACUUCCCCUGGUUCCUUAGAUACGUACCUUCAAGUAAUUAGGAAUACUUAUUAAUUCAACCUAAUUAAGCGGAAACAAUCCUAACUAAAAUGGAGAGAAAGGAAAGAUAAGGUGAUUGCUUAUAUCUAACAAUAACCCCGUAUUUUUCUCCAAAAAAAAAAACAAUAACCCCGUAUUCGAUAGAGACACGAAAUUUAUCCUGUAUAUAAUGCAUGAGGUUGUUUUUUUUUUUUCUUUUCCCCUCGUCAGCUAAGCUUUCCAAUUAAUUUGCACUUUAACGUGUUAUUAAAGUUAGACUUGCAUAUUUAUGAACUUUAUGUGACUGUGUUUGGCUCGUAUCUAAGCUUUACGUAGCUAUUAGCUUUUAAGCUUUUUAAGCUUUUAAGCUUUUAGAUUGGUUCAAGCGCUUUAGCAGUGUUAAUUACUAGCGAAGGAAAGAGAUGAAAGAGUCCCAUACCACAAUAAACCCUUUAAUGUUUUCUCUGCUUAGCUUCGUCUCCGCUUUCUCAUCCUCAGCCGCAUCAAGCAAUAUAUCGAGCACAUCCUUCACCACCCCAUCAUCAUCUUCUUCUCCUCCCUCCCUGUUACUAUGCUUCUUCUUCCUCCUCCUCGCCUCUUCUUUUUCCUUUAUGAUCCUCUCAAGUAGCCCAUCGAACCUAGCGUGCACAUCUCUUAUCCUCUUGCUCAAGCCCUGCGGGUCCCACCCUCUGCAGAAGGCGAUGUGGUCCUCCACGUUGAACGCGCCGAUGAGCUCCGCCACCUGCUUCGCCAGCUCCCGCGCCUCCUCCGCCUCGCCACCCGCCGCCGACGACGUGGUGCUCGCUGCCAUCCUCAUCACCAUGUUGUUGGUCAACCUAAUUAUUCACAUGAACACUAAAACAUUAAAAGAAACGGAGACUAAAAAUGCUAAUAAAAGUGUGGAGACAAAUUCUCUCGGCAAAAUAACACUAGCCGUCUUGCCUGAGAUCUUUUGUUGCCUCAACUCUGUAGCUUAAUUUAUUCUUUCAAUGAAUGAAACGGAUAACGCGCUAAUUUUUUAUAUUAAAACAAAAACUCUAGCUGCUGAUACUUUAGAGAAGAGGAGCUGACUGGUCAUGCAAUAUUGUAUUUUUUUUUUUUUAGAGAUAGAUAGCAAGCUAUUCAUUUUAUUUUAUUUCAGUUAGAAAUAAACUAAACUGAAAGUGUGAAUCAAUUAAAAUUCGAACUUAGAAUUUCGAGUAUCAAUUAUUAAGCCUUUUGUCACUUACGCUAGGAACGAUCGGUGUCAUGCGUAGAGUUAUUAGUCUUCAGACGGUUGGCCACUUGUUGUCCACCCGUGCUUUCUUUAAGCACUUGCGGCCAUUAUGUUUAAAGAUGUUCACGAGGUCUGGUCUAAUUAGUUGAUGGUUUACAGGAAUGCCCGCAAGAGAGAAGUUAACUUUAGCAGCUACUUUAAUUUCUCGACAAAUAUAAUCCUUUCGCUAUUCUAAGUGAUUAUUUUAUUUUGGGUAAUGAGGAACUUGUCAUUCUUAAUUCUUGGGUUCAGGAAUUCCUCUAUAACUUAAGUGACACAAUAAAAGCUUUUUCGAUUCUUUUAGUUACUGAUUUAUGGAUUGGAUUUCACUCGACUCAGGUAGGGAAUAUACUUGCAAAGAAAAUAAUUUGAUUUUUCAAAAAUCCUGGUGGGGAAGCGUUGAAUUUUAAUUGCUUGCAAUUGUUGAUUUUUCGCUUUUUUUUUUCUUUCAAAAUUUAGCUAUCUUAUCUCACUUUUGUAAUUUAUUUUUUUUUUAAUGAAUGAAGUAAAUAAUUUGUUUUUUUUUUUAAAAAAAAAGAAAAAGAAAAAGACAAGAAAAGACAAUUUUAGGUUUUUGAAGAAGAAUCACACCUGAUCAGCUCCCUACUGAGGUUGACACGCUCGCGAAGUUUUGACUUUUCGAGGAGGGUGUGGAGAAGAGCCGUGAACUCGGCGCGGCGGAUGGGGCGGAGCUGGUCGACGGUGCGGGCGCCGAGGAGCUCCGACAUGCAGAGCCGGCGCAUGAAGCGGUAGUAGGGGCUGUAGGGCGCGAAGGCGAAGGCGGCGGAAUCGUAGGCGAAGCGGCGGGCUGCGAUGGUCUGCGGCCGAUCGGAGAAGGCGGCGUCAUGGGUCUUGAGGAGGUCGCGGGCCACGUCGGCGCCGGCGGCGACGACGCAGAGGGUGGAGCCGAGGCGGACGUGGAUGAGGGGCCCAUGCCGGAGCGUGAGGCGGUGGAAGGCGCGGUGGAUGGGGGGACGGAGCAGGUGGAGGUGGCCGACGACCGGAAGGCCCAUUGGGCUCGGCGGGAGACGGUAGUGGGCAUUGGGCUUCGAACUGGGCCGGGCCUUGAUGAAGAAGAAGAAGAAGAAGAGUAGGCUGAGGAGGAGGAGGAGAGCGGAGGUGAAGAGGGUGGUGUCUUCCAUGUCCACGUUGUUGAGCAAGGAAGAACAAUAACCCACCACCCUUAUCUGAUACAGCUAGAGGGCUACGCAUGUAUAUGUAAUAACUGUUAACGGGUCGCAUUUUGGUGGGAGAUUCAAAUCCGAAUUUAUCGUGGUAUAUUGAGUAGGCUUUUAUUUUAUUUUAUUUUAUUUUAUUUUUUUGAUUGGACCGUAUCCCUCCCAUAACCCGGCGCCAACAAAAAAAAAAAAAUCUAAAUUCUGUUUGCUCGUCCUAAAGAAAAGGUCUCUUACGGCCGAUAAUUUUGUGAAGUGUGGGUGGACUGGAGAUACAGCUAGUGUGUUAUGCGGGGCAAAUGAAGAAACGGUCGACGAAUUGUUCACACAAUGCGUUUUCACCAAGUUUGUUUUAGUAAUGAGCGUGGAGGGCGUUCAAGCUAGGGAUUUGGGGACGACGUUUCUUCCUGCUGGGACAGGUGGGCAGGCAGAAAAGGAUUACACAAUUCUAAAAGCAGUCUAACUGAUCUAGUAGACAACUGAUGAGUUAUCUGGAAGGCGAAAACGACUUGAUCUUUAGAAAGAUAUCGCCUAACCCAGUACAAGUAGCUCUUAGACUCAAACUGCUGUUGAAGGAUGGAGAAUAUCUUAUACCAUCAAAGUAGAUCCUCAAUGCUAGUGUUUUUUUUUUUUUUCCUGCUCUCUCUCGAGGCCUAGGUUGCCUCACUCCUGUAGCCUCAUUUAUCCCUUUAAUGAAUAAAGCGGGUAGCGUGCUACCUUUUCCUCAAAAAAAAAAAAAAAAAAUCUAAAAUAUAGUUAUAUAACUAAUGUAGUGUCACCAAUGAAUCAGAUUGCACUACAACAGAAUUAGGUUAUAGGGACACAUGUUUGGGACAUUUUUUAGUAAGUGUCUCAUUUAUGCUAAAACUUAAAAACACAUCUACUAAUGCCUAAAUAUAAAGCCCAAUCCAACCAAAAAUAAAAAAUUACUCUACUCAAUCCACUACACCCAGUCCAUUUAGCCCGAUUACAAACAGAAAAGAAAAAAAAAAAAAGAAAAAUCAAUUACCUUGUUUUUUUCUCUCUUCACUCAAUCCACUGAAAUUCUAGACGAACAGCCUUUACUGUCGUCGUCCUCCUCCGCCAUUGCAGCCAACGAGAUAGAGUUUCGGCGGUUGCUAAAUACUUAAAUAAGUGUUGGUAAAUUAGCAGCAUUCUUUUAGAUUAUAGCGACACUCUUUAACUGUCACUAUAUACCUAGCGACCCCACAUAUAGCAACACUUUUUAAAAAUGUCGGUAAUUUUAGCUAGCAGCAUUUUUUUGACAUGUACCUAUAUUUAAAAGUGUCGUUGUAGACCGUUUUUGUUGUAGUGUUGAUCCUCUUGGAUUUAUCCGUCUCAUUAUGAUAACAGACAAAUAUUUUUAUUAUACUUUUUAUUUAAAAUAAAAAAUAUGAUUGAUAUUAAUAGAUGAUGUGAUUAAUACGUAUGUAGUAAAAUAUUUUCACGCCAACACUGGAGUACGUCAGGAUCCAUUUUUAGACCUCUACAUACUAUGCACGGGCAUGCCAGCUGACCCACCGGUUAAUGGUGUACAUAAUAAAAAUUAUUUUAAGAGAAACAAUUAAAUUUUAUGAAUUUAUAAUUGUCUGUAUUUUUUAUUUAUAUCAAAAAUAUUAAAUCUUCCUCUUAUUUUAAAAUUACUAUAAUUAUUAGGAGUUUUUAUGCUAAAACUUUUACUUUUACAAAUGAAAUUGUAAAUAUAACUAUUAUUGUAAUUACCAUAUGAAAUAGAACUAUUAAUAUUGACACAACUAUUAACACAACUAUUAAUAACUAUUAAUAUUGACUUCCAAACGAAGAUAACUAUUAACACAACUAUUAAUAUGAUUAAUCCCACUAGAUUUGAGUAUCAUACAUGUAAUGAUGGUAGUAGUGAUUGUUUCUCUUAGACUUGACGGUGUAAUUGUAUUUGGAUCAUAAAUAAUUAAUAUGUGGUGGUUUUUUUUUCUAUAAUAACUAUGCUAAAUCUGAAUUUGUUUUAGACCAAUUUUAUUGUAUUACUAGUGAAGACCUGCGCGAGGCUGUGGAUAUAAAAAUAUUUUUAAUAAUAAAUUUUAGUUUAUAUUUUUAUAUUUGUAUAUGGUUUUAUAAGUCCAAUUAUAAAACCAUAUACAAAUGAUGACAAUGUUACCGAUAAUACUAAUGGUGCUAUCAAGUUUUUCGCUGUUAUAUCUCUCUUUGAUUAUUUUAAUCCAUUAGAUUAUACUAUUCAACCAACUAUUCACUAUUGUCCUAAUUAUUAACCCUACAUCGUUUUAUGCAAGAGCUAAAAACUUAAUAGCACUAAUAAGUUGGUGCUAUUAAUAAAAUUAUAGCCCAAUUCUAUAUAUAUAUAGAGAGAGGGAGAGAGAAGUGGAGGAUUAAGGAGACACGUGUCACUUUUUUAAGAUUUCCCAAUCCUCCUUUAAUAUAGUAGAAAGAAAAAAAAUAUCGCUUUAAGAUCCCCCCGAUCCUUCUUUAAUUAAUGUAGUAGAAUAGAUAGAAAAUAAUGGAGAUAAUAAUGUGAAGAUAUGGAGAUAUUUAAUUGUUUUAAUAAAUUAUUUUUAAGUUUACAGUAUGAAGAUAUUUAAUCGAUUGAUAUUACUACAUGUAAUAAUUAUGACGGAGAAAACUUUUCAAUACUGUAUGUUUUUUUUUCUUUUUUGAGAAAAAUAUAGCACGCUACCCGUUUCAUUCAACGGAAUGAUGAAUUAGGCUACAAGGGUGGGGCAGCCAGGCCCCGAAAAAAAAAAAAAAAAAAAAAAAGAAAAAAAAAAAAGGGAUAGUAAUUCUGAUCAAGAUGAGAGAAACGAUCCCCACUCCUUCAAUACUGUAUGUUAGGACACAACAAUAGGAGGCGGCGAGGCUAAAAUGUUCUAGCUUGAGAGAAAUUUGUGCGUAUGUAGCUCGCAUGCCUGUUCUUACAAUACAUUCAUUCACCAUCCGUUUUAAUACUCUAUCUCAUAUUUUUAAUUUAGUUCUUUAAAUUUAAAGUAAAAAAAUUAUAAUUUUAGAUAGUGGAGAUUAAAAUGGAAAAUAUAAAUUAUAAAGAGGUUGAAUAAAUAUGCUACAUGCAUUGAUAGAUAGUGUGUAGGAAAACUCUCCCCCUUUCUAAAAAAUAAAAUUAAAUUCAUAGGGAAUGAAAAACAAAAGUUUAUUUUUUUGAUAAAAUAAAAGGAAACCUCCAAUUCGCUCUCUCAUUUUUAUUGGAGGAAUAAAAUGUAGGAUACACACUCAUUUAUGGAUGUACCAAGAGCAUUAUUCUUUUUUCACACAUAUUCUACUGUAACGUGAAGUUGGAGUGACAGCUCUCAGCAGGAGUGUUUGGACGUAAGAUGAACUAAAAAAUUAUUUUCAAUAUAAAAAUAUUUUUUUGCUUGUUUGGUUCGACGUAAUAUAAUUUUUGCAUAUAUAGGAGUAUUUUUAUGAAUUUAGAAAAAAAUUAAAGUUUUGAUUUUUUGUUGUUUUUCGGUAGAAAACGAAAACUCUCUGUAGGAGAGUCACUUAUCCUCUCUUUCUCUUUAUAUUAAUAUGCUAUUAUAUAAUAUUUUAUUUAUAAAUAUAUAUAUAUUUAUAUAUUUAGUUAUAUAUAUACAUGAUGAUGAUGAUGAUAUAGAUAUGAAAUUCAAUUAUAAUAUAUAUAAUACGGUAUUUAUUUAUAUAAAUAAUACAUAACAUAUAAUAAUAGAAGAAAAUUAUAUAAAAUUAUGUUUAAAUUUUNAUUUAUAUAAAUAAUACAUAACAUAUAAUAAUAGAAGAAAAUUAUAUAAAAUUAUGUUUAAAUUUUUCGUUUCAACUAAAGAAAUAUAGCUGAAAAAUUUUUUUCCUAAAAAUCAAACAUUAAAGAGUGUAAUUUUUUUUCCAUGAAAAAUUAUUUAUUAUAAUUUUACGUUGAACCUAAUAGAAUGCAACUAGGAAUAAUUCAGCAAGAGUAGCUUUGGUAAAUUAGUAGGAGCAGUUUUGCCAGUAAUAACUUUUCGAUAGCUUUGUUUUCUUUAUUUCUAUUUUUUCUUUAUUUUUUAAUUAAACUUUACCUUUAUUUUCUUUUGUUGUCCUUUUUUUUUCUUUUCGGAAGCCUUAGCUGCUUUCACCGUAUUUGCUUAGUUCAUUUUACCUAAUGAAUGAAGUAGGUAACUUUCUAUUUUUUUCUCAAAAAAAAAACUUCGAAAGCUUUGGUGUUUUUAAUUAUUUUGUGAGAUCACGCCGAAACGCCAAACUUUUAAAAUCUCAGAAUAUAUCUAUUUCAGCCUAGAAGUGCUCGAAUUCAGCUCAACUAAGUUCUAACCCGAACCAAGCGUCCUAAUGCAGCAGCUUGAGGUGGUUAAGCUGCAGUAGUGAACCCAAGCGCAAUUAUAACUUAUUUGAUUUGACCGAUAAUUUUUUUUCCUAUUUAUUUUCCAGUCAACUGAGAUAACAUGAAUGAGUAAUACGCGAUAUGUGAUGGAUUGAUGCAGCGGGCGCAGGCAGUUAUUUUUUUGACCUUCUUAUCUACUGCUAAAUUGCAAAAUAAAAUAAAACAAAAUUAAUAAGAAAAAACUCAUAUUAAACUUCUUUUACGUAACAAAUAAUAACAACCUACUCCUUAAUAAAGGACUAAAGCGAAUGCCCAACUACUUUGAAAACGCGAACUUUGUUUCUUGUGUUUGAAAGGAACCUGCUUUUGUGUUUGAAAGGGAACCUGCUUUCUAAUUUAUUGCCCAAUUAAAUCAUCGUUUUCAAUUAUUAUGAGGAUCUUGUUUCCGCUGGAUCUUGUUUCCAGUGGAGAGUUACAUUUCACAGUUAACAGGUGGCAGUUGUAGGUGCUAUUGUCAAUAAAUGAGAAGAUGUUUCCUAUUAAAUAUUAAAAUAUUAUUUUUAUUCGUUUAAAUAAUUGAAGAAUAAUUAUUGUUUUAUAUUUUUAAAUAUGAACCUGAGUUUCUGAGUUGAAAUCACGUCAGAUUCUUAACAUUAUUAAUUUUUUAUUAUUUAAUUCAAAUUCAUGUCAUGAAUAUAAUGAAAAUUCAGUUCAGAUUUGAGUUCUUUUUUAUAAUACUUCACAUAAAUCCUAAAACAUUGUAUCGCAUAAUUUAUAAAAGAAAGAAAAAGUCUUUCAAUGUUCCCCAGCAACCAGGAUGGCGUGGCAUAUGCGAGGCGUGCAUUAAUUAUGCACCCACCCUUCUCAAGCAAAAAAUUAUUUAUAGAUUUUCCAUAUGUUGAAAGCAACAGUAGAAAAUUCAUAUUCCUGAUUUAGCAAGGUUAUCCGAUCCCUUUAAUUUAGAGGAAAUCAAGAAAGCCAUUUUUCAACUGGAAAGCGAUAAGGCGCCGAGACCGGAUGGUUUCCCUUUGAAGCUCUACCAAACGUUUUGGGACACCGUUAAGGAUGAUAUUUUGAGUAUCUUUCAGGAAAUGUACGAGAGAAAGCUCUCCACGGACGCCAUAGACUACUCUUUCAUUUGUCUUAUUCCGAAGAACGAGGGGGCAGUGCGAGCAAAUGACUUUAGACCCAUAAGCUUGUUAAACAGGAUCCAAAAAAUUUUAUCUAAGAUUCUGACCAACAGGCUAGACCAGGUUAUGAAGGAUCUGAUAUCCCCGUCUCAGUCUGCUUUCCUGAAAGGCAGGAACAUUACCGACGCUUUUGCAUCAGUUUCCGAACUUAUUGAAUGGGGUAGCAAAUUGUCCGUUGAAGGUGUCGGGAUAAAGGUUGAUUUUGAAAAGGCCUACGACAGGAUUUAUUGGCCAUUCCUUUUCCAAAUUCUACGGUGGUGGGGUUUCAAUGACAAGUGGUGUGAAUGGAUCGAAUCUUGCGUGUGCCACGCGAAAGUGGCAGUACUUGUUAACGGAGAGCCGACCAAAUGGAUAAAGACGAAGAGAGGCGUAAGACAAGGGGAUCCGAUUUCACCUUAUCUAUUCUUACUGGUGGCAGAGUGCCUGGCUCGUUUGACCAAUGAGGCGGCCUCUAACAGUCUCAUUAAAGGCCUCGGCCCGACCGAGGGAUGUAGGGUCACUCUCACUCAAUUCGCGGACGAUACCUUUUUCUUCUGCGAGGCAAAAAGCAGGUACUUGAAAAAUCUCAGGUUUAUUUGGCACCUUUUCGAGUGGACCUCGGGAAUGAAAAUCAACAGGGAGAAGACGGAGCUUUACUAUCUAGGACAGGAGGUCGGUAAAGGAGCUAGAUUAGCAAACAUUUUGGAAUGCAGAGUGGGCACUCUCCCAACCAAUUAUUUGGGUCUACCGCUCUCUCCCAGAUCACCGUCCAAGGAGGCAUGGAUGGGGAUCAUACAAAAGAUACACCGGAGAAUAGAGGGCUGGCAAGCUAAACUCCUUUCUAGGGGAGGUAGACUUAUCUUAGUUAACGCGGUAAUAACCAACAUACCCCUCUACUCUCUUUCCGUGUUCAAGGCCCCCGCGUGGGUGAUUAAGCACAUCGAAGCCCUUAGAAGGGACUUCUUCUGGAAUGGUGGGCGCAGCACCCCGGGCAAGGGAUGUCUAGUGACUUGGAAAAAUGUUUGUAAGACCAAAAAGGAAGGCGGGUUAGGCAUCUUGGAUGUUGCGACCAUGAAUCAAGCGUUACUGACUAAAUGGUGGUGGAAAUUUCACAUUGCACCUGAACUACAGUGGAACAAGUUAAUCCGGGUUCUGUACUAUCGUAGAAGAAAAUCGCUGAGGGAAGGCAGAUACUUUAGACCGUUCUCUAGUUAGUGGAAAGGUAUCCUUAGUUGCAGCUCCAUCUUUAAAUGGGGCGCAACCUUUGAACUAGGAAACGGUAAAGCCAUUGACUUCUGGCAGGAUAGGUGGUGUGGGGAGAAAACAUUGAACCUUCUGUUCCCGGAAGCUCAUCUCUCGACUGAGGGGAAAAACUACAGAGUUAGCGACUAUUUCACGAAGGGUAGUUGGAAUUGGACCAAGAUCCUAGGAGCCGAAGUGGGCCUUUUGCAAGGGCUGAUACCGAACCUCUCGGAGCUUGUGGAAAGGGUCUCCAACUUCUCUGUCGGACAUAGACCUGAUAAGAUCCUUUGGCGGUGGAGUUCAGACGGAAAGUUUUCGGUCAAAUCGACUUAUUUGGCUUUGACGGACGGCGGGGUAAGAGACGCACGUGCCGCCACCAUCUGGAGUCUCAAAAUCCCCCUUAAAGUAAAAGUCUUUAUCUGGUUGGUCCUUAAGAAAAAAAUCCUGACACGCGAUAGUCUUGUUAAGAGAGGGUGGAUUGAUGACCCCACCUACGUGCUUUGCGGGUCGGACGACGAAUCAGUGGACCACCUGUUUACCCACUGUGUAUUUUGCAAAUUCGUCUUGGUGUCAGGGGACGACGAGAUCCAGGCCCAAGACCUGGGGGACGAGGUGAAUCUUGUUUGGGAUAGGUGGACUGGCAAAAAAGACCCUCUAAAUAAGCGUACCAGACUUGCUGAACUAGCGGGAUGCUGGUGGGUGAUCUGGAAGGUCAGAAACGAUGUAAUAUUUCGGAAUAUCACCCCUAACCCCGGGAUUGCGGUCCACAGAUUCAAACUGCUUGUGAAGGAGUGGGAGCUUCUCCUCCGGUCAUAAUUGUUUUUUUUUUUUUUCUGGGGGCCUGAUUGCCCCACUUUUGUAGCUUAGUUCAUAUGAUCAAUGAAUGAAGCGGGUAGCAUGCUACCUCUUUCUCAAAAAAAAAAAAAUUCACACUCAAUUAUAAUAUAAAUAUAUAAAGAAAUGAGACGAUAUAUGUCGAAAUUUUGACCAUUGAUCCCAACUUUUUGCAUCACAAACACCUAUAAAGCAUCUUGUUUGACUUGCAAGAAAAAAAAUCUGGAAUAUGACAGUAGCUUCAAACCAAUUAAAUUGUGCAUCCAGAUUCACUCAUCCCAUUAUAAUUUUUUAAAAUAUAUUUACCAUACUUUUAUCUCAAAUAAAAAAUUAUAUUGGCUAAAAAUAUAAAUAAUAUGGUAAGAUUUUGCAAUAUGAAAGAUCACCUUCAUGGGAGACCAAUCUGAUGGCGUAAUAAGUGGUUUUUCAGGAACACUGGCCAAAAUUUUUUAAAGUCCCUAACUAUGUUUGGUUUGGGUAUAAGUAAGAACUACUAGUUCCAGUGAUAGAUACAAGUUCAGGUAUAAGCAGGAACUAGAUCAAUUUUGCGUUUGGAUGAAAAUUGGGUUGUUUCUAUGAAUAAGUUAAAUAGUAUUUGGAUAGCUAGAUUGGAACAAGAGGAUUAAGAGUUACAAUUUGAAAUUAAAAUUAUAUUAUGUAAUUAAUUAACAUAAAAAUAUUACUUAAAAAUAAAUAAAAAAUUAAUUAUUAAUAAUUAAUUAUAAAUAAUAAUUAAUAAUAAUAAUUAAUUAUAAAUAAUAAAUUAUUAAUAACGAUUAUCUAAUUAAUAAUAAUUAUUAUUAUUAUUAAUUAUUAAUAAAUAAUAAUAAUUAUUAAUUAUUCUUAUUAAUUAAUUAUAAAUAAUAAAUUAUUAAUAAUAUUGAUUAUCUAAUUAUUAAUAAUAAUUAAUAUUAAUAUUUAUUAAUAAAUAAUAAUAAUAAUUAUUAAUAAUUAAUUAUAAAUAAUAAAUUAAUAAUAACAUCGAUUAUCUAAUUAUUAAGAAUAAUAAUUAUUAAUUAAUUAUUAAUAAAUAAUAAUAUUAAUUAUUAAUUAUUAAUUAUAAAUAAUAUAUUAAUAAUAAUAUCGAUUAUCAUUAAGAAUAAUAAUUAUUAAUAAUUAUUAAUAAAAAAUUAAUAAAUAUUAUUAAUUAUUAAUAAUUAAUUAUAAAUAAUAAAUUAAUAAUAAUUAUUAUCUAAUUAUUAAUAAUUAAUUAUAAAUAAUAAAUUAAUAAUAAUAAUUAUCUAAUUAUUAAUAAUUAUUUAUUUAUUUAUUUAAUUAUUAAAGCAAUAAAUAAUAAUUUAAAUAUAUUAAGUAGAUUAAUUAAUAAUUUACUGCCAUUAAAAUUAAAUUUAGAUUUUAAUUAAUCUUGUUCUUCUAAAAAACGGGUGUAACAGCAGUUCCAGCCUUAUACCAGCUUAUUUCAGAAACCAGGGAACUACUGUUCGCAGAAACCAAACAUACCGUUUGGAAACAAAGGAGAGAACAAGGGCUUAUUCCCUCCUUUGUUCCCGAACCAAACGCUACCUAAUAGCUUGCUUCCUCUCUUGUGCACCGGCUAAUAUACAAAAUAUAUAUUUUAUUAUAUUAUAUAAUAUGUAAUGUAGUAUUUAAUAGAUAAGCUUUUUAAUGAAAGAGAAGUAAAUACAAAUUUUCAUAUUUAUAUAGUCUACAAUACAAUAUAAAAAAUAUCCACUAUAACAUAUUUUAUAUAGAAGUUUAUGCAAUAUAAAUUAUAUCUAGUAUAAUAAUUAUAGAAAAAGACCAAAAAUAAGUUUUAAGCCAACCAAAUUAUAAAAAAAGGGAAAUCCAGUUAUUAAUCUCCUUUUCCAACCAAGGAAACAUCCACUAAUUUGCAAAUCAAUCGCUAGAAACGGUAAAAUCCGUUUUGUAUCAAACAAUUUUUUCUACAAGAAAACUAUCUUUUAUAGCUCAAGUGAAACCAAACAGCUCCUCAGCGGCAAGAUCCUUUUCCCUUCCCAAAUAAAUUCAUAACAUUUGCUAAGAUUUUGAAUACUAUUUGAUACCACUUCCAUAACAUAAUCCACGCGCUACGAAGUGGGCGUUAUUUGCUAGUAAAUGCAAGGUUAGAAAGAAUGAUUAGAGAAUAAGACACAGUACUUACACCAAUUAACAGAGGGAACAAGGAUGACCUUGUGAACUACUACCUUGGAUGCUAAUCACCGUUUAACAAAUAAAUUACACAGCUUAAAGCAUGAAUGACAUGGUUUUAUUUGCACCAACCAAAGCCUGUGAAUACCCACUUGUCUUUCCUUUGAGAUUAAUCACUGAGAGCUCUUGCUCGACGUAAUCUCCAGCACAGACUGGGGGAUACAUAUUCACAUGGCUUGAUUCAGCAAAACGGCCUAGCGGCUUUAGCAUUGCAUCAGAAGCAAUAUGAGCGAAUAGCUAUUUGAACAAUGACAACAACGAGAAGUUAGUAAUACACCAAUGCAGGGUCGAAAUUCAAGAGGAAAACGAGGUCAUAUUUGAAAAUUACAAAAGGAAAAGCGCUUACGGUUGAAGAAACCCUCCACAAGCUGCGGUUUUGCUCCCGUGCAAGAUCAAUAGCUUCCAGUGUCCUCUUAGUUACAACAACCUCGUGCAUCCCAGCUAAACACUCCCCUCCAGUAAGCCACUCUAGCUGCACGAAAAGAACUUAACUAAGUUGAUUGCUAUUCCUUUUUUGGGCAAAUUAUUAAGUCCGUAACAAAUUCAUGUCAUGCCCAAUGUAGGACAUGAAUUUAUAAUCAUGGAAUUGACUAAUCAUCAGAAUAUAAGUUCAUUCCAUGCCAAGAUAACAAAUACCCCUCCAACCAUAGGUCAUCCAGAAACUACUCCAGUUCAAGUGGUUUAUACUUGACCCCCUUAAAGCACGUGUUGUUUUAUUUCAAAAAACAUGUAACUAAUUAAUGGUCUCCAUAACUUUCCAUAUGAAAUAUUGUCUAACUUAAUAGAAUGUUCCAAGUAUAUGGUACAUGACGACAUGUUGUACUCUUUUUGUACAUAAACUGUUGCAAUCCAAUACCUGAUGAAAUUUUGCGAAAUCAAAUAACAAUGUUAUUUGAGUGGUUAAAAAAAAAAAAAGUUGAAGUUGGAAGCCUACUUCAAAUAGCAUUUUCAUACAUUUUUACAUUUGUUUUCCAAAGAUUAUGUUUCGUCCAAUUAGAAAUCUUAUUGUUUCAUAGUCCACCAAAAUAUUGAUCCUGCAAGAUUCACACUGUAAUUAAGUGUGUUGAAAAGAGCGAGAAAUAUUCACCUGUUUCCCUGUUUGAAUGAGAAGGCAACCGACAGGGACCUUGACUUCCAUUUUUUGGCCAUUCCUUAACCAGAUGUUUAAGCCUGGGAAUCUACUCCUACCAUGUAUUGUUAAGAAGUUAAGAUCGUAAUGAAAUCCUGCAAAUACUGUGCCCUCGGAUCCAUGGCGUUGCAGGUCACUUCCGGUGGGAGCAAGAAGGUGUGGUCCCUGUAGCAUAGAGCAGAGGAAAAGAGUAUAUCAAAAGAAAGUGGAAAUAGAGUAAAUAUCAAAUAUAUCAAGCGUCCAAAAAAGGUCACUGUGCUUCACUACGCUCAGAGGAGCAUAAAUAGACAAAACCACACAUAAUACUAGAAAUAUUUACCACCAUCCCAACUUAUCCCCAACCAAUUACCACAAAGUCUUUGGACAUUAAAGACUCGCUGAAUCAUAAGCAAUAGAUUGAGGAUGUCCAGAGCCAGCGGAUUAUUGUAAGUAGUGCCGUUUAUUUCAAUAUCGACUUUCUAUUAUCUCAACAUUAAACAGAAGAACUUCCAAUUCUAAGCACCAUCAUGCCUUGGUGAUCUUGGGUACCAAAGAACAUAUGACUUCACAAGUUCGAAUAAGAACCUCUCUCUAUCGAACCGAGUGACUACGUGCUAAAUUGCUUAAAUGAUAACACAACUCAUUCAAAAAGAGGGAAAUGAGCGGCAAAUAUAAUGAGAAAUAAAAUAAUAGAGACGUCCAAUCAGAGGGAAGAUCCUUGCUUUUAACACUCUCAGAAGUGUAUAUUAGCUCAUACAUCAAGUUUAUACUCCCAGGACGACGGCUUUAGUUCAGUAUACAUUCCCCAGACUAAUAAUUAGGCCAAAUAACUAUUGAUCCAAAAGAAAUUACUAUCUCCAACUAAGACCACUUAUUUUCAGUUCAAUGCUGACCGGAUGAGAAUAAUUUGUCUUGUUGACAUCAAGAAGAUUGUUGUUAUAAGGGCAUAGAGGAAAACCAACAUUCCAUGCAUUGACAAAUAAAUAUUACCUGCUUCAUUAAAGAAGUAAAUGCAUACUUUGGCAAGCCAAAUCCAAUUGCAGCCAUCUCGGCAACAACCUAGAGAACAGUACCUCAUAUCAUGCUUAGCUUCAUAUAUUAUAAGCUUGGAUAAAUUAAGAGAAAACAAACAAAUGAAGCACCUCAAUUGCAGAAAUCAUUUUGGAACCCCAUGAGUCCAUGGUUUUUCUCCAUUCAGGGAACCCUUCAGGUAUGACAGGUUCAGAGUUCAGCUCCUAUAAAAGAACAUCUCAUGCUUUAUGUACAAUAAGAUCAUUAUUUAGCACAACUGAACACUAAAUAAACAAGCAAUAUCUUGUGGAAAGAACGCAGCAAAAUUACAACCUUGAAACGGGUGUUUGUUGGGCGGGGACCCACUCUCCACAUGUAUCGCCAUUUAGGAUCUGGUCCUGUCGGAGUAUAUGGUUGAAAUUCUUUUGGCAUCGUCCUUAUCUUCUCCUGCAUAUCCUCAUCUACGAGGCUGCGUGGUACCUCCACCCCUUCAGGUGUUACACCAACCUAUUUUAUACAAACAGAUAACACUGUGAAGCAGGGAAAGCAUAUAUAGGAUGAGCACUCAUAGUAACAUUACUAUGUACUAAUGGAAGUUGUUCUAAUCCAAUUGAAUACACGGCACAAAGAACUGAUAUACCUACAAAAAGAAAAGGACAUUAAGAUGUUAAAAAAACUAAAACAGUUUGGGGCUUGAAUUUCAUGCUGACUAAUGUGGAUAGAAGGGAGUUAAUUAACAGAGAAAAGAGUGCAACAAUGGUGCUAUUAACUAAUAACCCUGCUUACAUGCCAGAAAGAAUCGGUCAAGUUGAUCCAAUUGCAUUUGACAAGAACCUUGCAACUAUAUGGACUGCAGGAAAUGACACAGUAUUACUGUGCAGCUGCCAUAAACAGAUACAAGCUCACAGUUCUACAAACCAACAGUAAUAGGCCAUAGGUUUUACGGAAGAAAGAGUCGUCACAUCUAACGAAACCCAGAUUUUAGGCAUACUAAGACCUACUUUAGGAUUACAGUGCAAAAAACACCUACUUUUAUGGUUUGGAAGGCCCAAAAAAUCCAAAAGCGCUUCCAAUCUCCCUCCUUCAAUGCUAUAAAAUUGCGGUCUGCCACUAAAGAACCAAACAAGUACAUACUUCUUCGGCAGUGGUUUCUACCAUAAUUUUAUAGCAUUGAAGGGAAAAUUAGAUGCACUUUCAGAUUUGUUUUUGGCCUUCCGAAAGCCGGAAAACGGGUGAUCUUAGUCCACCACGGUACCAAACAAGGCCAAAACGAGACACAGACUGAGUUUUCUGCAGCAAGUUCACUGGAAAAGAGAGAAAAACAUGAAAGAGAGCAGAUUCAAUAUGGUUGAGAUCAUAUCUGAACAAAUUAUGCAUGGAAAACAAUAAGGCUGAAUUGCAAGCUCUUUCAAUCACUCGCACAUCUGGCCGAUAACCAAUCUGUUAAAAACUAUCACAUAAUUGUGACCAACUUCAGCAUGAUACAUUGAUUUCAACUAUACUAAACAAGUCUGUUUAUCCUGCCAAAAAAUAAGCCAUCCUGUUGGCAAGAUUCCAUAAGCAAUUUACACACUUAAUCUGAUAUUGUCUCACUUAGUUUGAAGUGAUAUGUGAGAUGAACCCCCUCACAUUUCCUCCUCAUAUUUUCUAUUCCAUUACAUUUGUAUCUGAGAUCUAAUGCACAGGUAAUUUACCAUUAUCCAUCCCGGUUAGCUCAGAUUCUUCAGAAUGCAUAAAAUUGUCAAUAUAUUGAUUUAGUCAUAGGAUUAUUAGAACUGCUUGACAUUAGACAAUGCCUUGUAAGUAAGAGGAGAUACAAGUGAUCAGUUUAUUCACUACUGCUGUUUCGAACUACAAAUUCACGUCAGAAGAGAAAUGUAGAACCUCUGCGACCAAUCCGUCGCUUCAAUUCAAUCUCCAAAGGCACCUCAACCUCAAAGUUCAAAUCCAUAACUAGAGCAAGCCGAGAAUUACCAAAAAGAUACAACAGCAGAUGCCCUAAUUGCCCCAAAUUUUCCGAUCGCAUAGUGAAAUUGGAGUGAGAAGUAGGAGAAGAGGCGAAAAGAAGAAGAGGAAGGGGAGAAUCCGACCUGGUAAUGGAGGUUGGGCCGUUCCUGGAGGCGCUUGAACUCCUCGGAUCGCUCGAAGUACCUUUCCAUCAUAUCAAGGAACCGAUCGUUGUCCUCGGCGGAGCACCUCGGAUCCUUCACGAGGAGCGCGCCCGUGUCCCUCAGGCUACCGCUCACCGCCGCGCAGAGCGCCACCACCUCCUCCUCCGCCCGCCGAUCGGGGCCACCUCCGCCUCCGCCGCCGCCGCCACAAGCCGCAGCGUCGAGGUAGGGGGCGAGAUCCACGACGGGGAGGUCCAUCGCCGGAGAUGGCGGGGUCCGGUGCUCCGCCGCCGCGAUCGCGUCGUUCGCAAUUGAGAGGGGAGGGGAGAGGAGAAGAGAUCGAUAUAAGGUAGACGACGGAAGGGAGGAAGAGUUUUUGGCGUGCACGAGAUGCGAGGGAGGGUGAGUUGGGCGGGAGGGGUAUUUAUUUAUUCAUAGGAAUAUACAAAUUUCCAAUUUAGAACCUUUUAAAACUAGGAAAAGCUAGUAGAGCCACGUGGAGUCCAACUGUGAUGUGAUGUUGAUGAUGAUGAGGGGGGUUGAGAGCGAAGGUAAAGAAAGGCGUGAAUCCAAAAAGGUACAGAAACCGGGUCGGGUCGUAAAACCGGGGGCAGAGAAAAAGUAUGCCUAGGCAACAGUUCUGAGUACCGACGUAUUCUAAUACAGUAUAAUUUUAUUACCGUUUGACUCGAAAAUAAAUAAGAACUAAUUAUUUCAAAAAUACAUAUAAAUACAAGCAUAAAAAGGAAUAAGAGUAAUUUUAUAUUUAGAUUAAAAUAGAUACAAAUGUCGGUAUAAGGAGGAAUAACAAAAAAUAUAUUUUGAUAAUAUUUAGGGAUAAGAAAAUAAUGGGUUGGUAAAAUUUUAAUAUACCCAAAUUACACCUAUAUGAGAAAAAAUAGACAGAGUUACUUGAUUUGUAAGUUAUAUUUUUUUAAUUUAUUUUAGCAUAAAAUGAGAUGAUUAUUUAAUUACUAAUAAAAUAAUUAAAAAAGAAAAUGUACUGUAAUAUUUGUAAAAAAUGCAGAUGAUAUUUUCGUUAUGUCGCAGUUAGAGGUAGGUACAAAUGACGGGAUUUUGAAAUUUUAACAUAGGACGGAAAUAAUAUUUUUAGUUGUAAAUAACAUAAUAAUAUUUAGAUACAUUAUAUAAAUAAAUUACACACGAAGAUUAUAUGAAAUUUUACUACAACCAAAUGAAAGCAACAAACUUCAGCAUCGAUCCGCAACCCAGACGGCACGAGGGUCUCACAAAUCGUUUGGGCCAAAAUUUAUGUUUGGGGAUUAGCUGGGGAAUAAGGCUUAAUCCUCCAACUAAUUCCCAAGCCAAACACAGUCUAAUUAAAUUUAGAAUAUUUGUUUGUUUAUAAGAUCAAAUUUGCUUUUUGUACAGUAGGAAAUUUCCCAUAAACGUCAUCUACUACAAAUACACAUCAACAGCUCUGAAUUGAGGUGAAAUAUUAUCCAAAAAAAGUAAUCACAACCAAAAAAAAUGGGCCGCAUCGUACGUGGGCUCCAACUUAGAUGAGAAAAUUUAUUAUAAUGAAAAUAUGGGCCAUGUACAAACAGGCAAUUGUGGUGCUUCUUUUUCUUUAUUUUCUAGUAAUAUAGCCAUUGAUCCGAGGUCUGUUUGGCUCGACAUAAAAUUAUAAAAAAUAAUUUUGGUGAAAAAGAAUUUAUAUUUUAUAAUAUUUGAUUUGUAAAAAAAAAUUUUAUUAAUAUUUGUUUGGUUAGAAUAAAAAAAUUAUGUUUAUUUGGUUUGAUAGAAAAAAAAAAUGAAUGAAAGAAAUUUUACACAGCUCGAUUUUUUUUUUCCGUCCAAAAGCAACAAAAAAUAAAAUUUAAUUUUUCUCUAAAUUCGCAAAAAAUACUUUUAUCGAAAAAUAUUUUUAUAUCAAACCAAACAAGCGAAAAAAUAUUUUUUAUACCGAAAAUAAUUUUUUAGUUCGUUUUAUGUCGAGCCAAACGCGCCCGAAGCUUUUUUAUAAAAUGCGAAGCUAAGAAUGAUAUAAGGCAUGCUGUUUCUAGAUUGUUGCCGAGAUGACUGCAGUAGGAUUUGGCUUGCCAAAAGAUGCAUUUACUUCGUUAAUGAAACAGGUAACAUUUAUUUGCCGAUGCAUGGAACGUUGGUUUGCUCUCUGCCCUUUACAACAGUAAGAGAACAGCAAUCAAUUUAGUUUUCUUUUUGUGCAGGUAGAGUGGCUUACUGGAGGGGAAUGUGUAGCUGGGAUGCGACACUGGAAGCUAUUGAUCUUUCACAUUUACCUCUCGAAUUUAGACCCUGCAUUGGUGUGUCACUGACUUCCUAGCGUUGUCCCCGUUAAAAUACCUGAUCGCACGUAUCGCUUCCGAUGCAAUGCUGAAGCCAUUGUGUCAUUUUAAUGACUCUACCCUUACGAAAAAGCAUCCAACCAUCUGUGCUAGAGACUGACCGUCCCUAGAGCAAGUGGCAAAGGACUUGGUGGUUGAUACCCGAGGUCCCAAAUUCGAAUUCUAGUUGAUUCGUAGUUUCAGCUAAGUUUAUUUGUAAAUGAAAUAAACGAAACGAAUAGCAUGCUACCUAUCUCUCAAAAAAAAAAAACCAUAUGUGCUAGAGAUUACGUCGAGCAAGAGCUUCUCAGUGAUAAAUCUAAAACAAAUUAAGCCGCGCCAUCCAGUUCCAUCAUCCAUGUGGCUAGAAUUAGUACAAAAAGUCCCGUGGGAGAGAAUUUGUGCCUUAAUCUCUCUAAUUUGACUGGUGAACACUACUGACUCGUGUCGAAAAGAGUACUUCACAAGGGCAUCUGGAAUUGUAGUUCCCUCUGUAAUUGGUAAAACAUACGUGUUUUUUUCUCUAACCAUUCUUUCUAACUAACAUGGCGUUCAUUAGCCAACAACGCGCAAUUUGUAGGUGCAAAUUCUGCUAUGUAAGCAGUAUAGAAGAGUACACGUCAAAAAUCUUUGCAAACCAUAUGACUUUCUUCUUUUCUUUUUUUCAGAGAGAUAGGUAGUACGUUACCCGAUUCGUUUAUUUCAUUUAAAAAUAAACUUAGCUGGAAAUGUAAAUCAAUUAGGAUUCGAAUUUGGGUCUCGAAUACCAACCACCAAACCCUUUGCCUCUUGCUCUAAGGACGAUCGGUUAAACCAUAUGACUUUCAUUUUGGGGGGUGGAAAAGGAUCUUUGCAACUCCUAGUGUUUUUUUUUUUUUUUUUGAGAGAAAUAGAUAGCUCGCUAUCUGUUUCGUUUAUUUCAUUUAGAAAUAAAUUUAGUUGAAAAUGUGAAUCAAUUAGAAUGUAAACUUGAAAUUUCGGAUACCAACCAUCAAACCCUUUGCAGCUCCAAGUGUUGAAAAAGUGAUUCCAAUGAACUUAACGUAUAGUUAAGUAUGUUU